UUUGCUAGGCGGGAUCUCGCAUCGUGGGAUCCGAUUCCGAUCACUGAUCUGUGUGGCGUUUUCUUUUCUUGUUGGUGUCGCGAAUAAGGCAAAUGAGCUCGUGUGUGUGUGGCUGGAAUUGCACCAGCGUGCAGUUUUUGCGCUUUGCGUGUGUGUGGUCGUGAAAACUCUUGAGAUGGAACAAUGUCUUCGUAAUGCUUUCAGAUUUGUCGCUUGGCAAGCCUUAAAUAAGAUGUUUGUGUGUCUUUCUAGUCGAUGAUGUAAGCAUGAUUUCUAAUUCCCGUAUUGAAUUUUUAAAAAGCAAAUCAAUUUGUAUUUGGGCAAAGCACUGAACGAGAACUAAAAAAAACCCGCAAAAAAAAAGAACUAAAAGAAAAUUUGAUAUUGAUUAAAAUCCGGCUAAACUUGAGGAACUUUCCAAAAAACAAAUCACUUAAGAAGCCUGUAGCUUCCGAUGUAAAAAUAUGGCGGAGUACUUAGAAAGGGUAAUUUGGUGUAGCACGAGUUUGAUAAAUGCAAAUAAUUCAAGCAAUCGCAAACCAAACCAAUCUGUGGUUGAAUGUUAGUAGGACAGUAGUAUUUUCGGCCACCAGCGUUCAAGUCCUAAAUUUGACACUAAUGCUUAUAUUUUUUGAAUUUAUUUUAUGCCUUCCUGCUACUGCUAUAUACGUUCAGUGCGAGGAGACGUUUCCAUCAACUAGAAAGGUGUUUGUGGCGACUUUAUCGAUCUCAAAAUAGUGUGUCGUCUCAGUCAAACAAAAAUGCUCAUAAAGGUAUAAUGUGAGUGUUCGCGUCUGUACUGUGAUAAAAAGACUCCAAAAUUACUAGCCUCUAGACAUGUUGCUUCACACCUCGAGUUUAUUCAAAUUAUAGUUCUCUGGGCCUUGCAUUUAUUCUUUUUAUUUUUGUGACCUUCUCCAUAUUUUUAUUUAUUUAUGAUAAUUUGUCAAUUUUUUCUUGAUAGUUCAUAUGUAUUUUUUUAUUUUUAAACAAUUUCCAAAUAUACAUCAAAGCCUAUCUUGUGACGUGCCAUUACUUUUAUUAAGGUAAUGGCAUGUCAUUCCUAAGAGCAUCUUCAAGGCGGACCCGUAAAUCUCUCGUAACCGUUCAGAGCGCGCUGUCCAGACCGUGAAAGCCAUCCAACGCCGAUCUGUAUCGUUUUGGGGGACGGUCCGGACGCGAUUUCUCCUGCAAAUCGGAGACAAAAGUGGGGAGGUUUGCGGGAACCCGGACUGAUCGCAAGACCGUUUUUGACCGCCCUGGCCCACCAAAACCCCUUCCUCUCCGGCUGAAGCAUCCUCUUUGCCACUCCGAUGAGCGGCGCAUUCGGACAUAUGGAAGAUACGAGGGAAGAACAUGCCUCCGGGGCUCACGGCAGUCUCGUUAUUCUGGGAUGCCGAACAUGGGGAAGACAAGUUGCGGCUGCUACUUGUGAGUUGCGUUGGGAUUUCCACGAAGAGGAGGGGAUGAUGCAGUACAGUAGAGAUAAGUAUUUCCCUCAGUUAUGAAAUUAAGGUUAUCAAUCUAGUAGGAGAAUCAUGCAACACCUCGUUAACAGCACCUGCACACAAGAUAACAAAUCUUUGCACCCAACGCGAACAAGGGGUUGUCAAUCCCUCGGCGGUUAUUUGCAAGAUUAAAUUGUGUAAUGAUUGAUAGAUAGAUUGAACAAAAAAAUACAAAAUAAAUAAAUAAAGUAAAAUAAUAAUGACGAUAUCCAAGACAAUGAUCAUGUAUAUAGACAUCACGUCCAAGACAAGUAGAACAAAAUAAUUUUGCAUCUACUACUAUUACUCCACACAUCGACCGCUAUCCAACAUGCAUCUAGAGUAUUAACUUCAUAAAGAACGGAGUAACGCCUUAAGCAAGAUGACAUGAUGUAGACAAAGUAAACUCACGCAUGAAUAAACCCCAUCUUUUUAUCCUUAAUAGCAACGAUACAAUACGUGACAUGUCCCCUACUGUCACUGAGAUUGAGCACCACAAGAUCGAACCCAUUACAAAGCACCUAUUCCAUUGCAAAAAAAUCAAUCUAGUCGGCCAAACCAAACCAAUAGAUCGGGAGAAAUAUGAAGCUAUAAUAAUAAUGCAUAAAAAGAGUUCAGAGAAGACUCAAAUAGUAUUCAUGAAUAAUCUGAUCAUAAACUCACAAUUCAUCAGAUCCCAACAAACACACUGCAAAAGGUGAUUACAUAGAAUAGAACUCCAAGAACAUCGAGGAGAAUAUUGUAUUGAAGAUCAAAGAAAGAGAUGAAGCCAUCUCGCUACUAACUAUGAAUACAGCUCCUCCGUGAUUGAUUCCUCCUCCAGCGGAGUGCCGGAAAAGGCCCCCAGAUGGGAUCUCUCGAGAACAGAAGCUUGCGGCGGCAGAAAAGGUAUUUCUUGGACUCCUCUUUUGGUUUCUCGAUUUUAGAGAAUUUAUAGAGGCGGAGUUAGGUCAAACGGAGCUACAUGGGCCCCACGAGCCACCAGGGCGCGCCUAUCCCUCCCCCCCAGGCGUGCCCUAUUGCCUCAUGGGCCACUGCUCCAUCUUCUGGUCCUCUCCCGAAGCUUCCAGGAUCUCUUAUGUCCAGAAAAAAAAUCUGCAAAAAGUUUCGUUGCAUUUGGAUUUCGUUUGGUACUGAUAUUCUGGAAACCAAAAACAUGCAAAAAAAAACAGCAACUGGCAAUGGGCACUAAGUUAAUAGGUUAGUCCCAAAAAAUGAUAUAUAUAAUUGCUUGUAAAUGUAUAUAAAACAUCCAAGAUUGAUAAUAUAAUAGCAUGGAACAAUAAAAAAUUAUAGAUACGUUGGAGACGUAUCAAGCAUCCCCAAGCUUAAUUCCUGCUCGUCCUCGAGUAGGUAAAUGGUAAAAACAGAAAUUUUGAUGUGGAAUGCUACCUAUCAUAUUCAUCAUUGUCGGGCCCGUGGGACCAGGGGUACCCAAGCUCAUCUGUCUUCGGCCGAGGACGCAGCGCAUGUCGAGGGCCCAGCGGAUGGCCCACCAGCAAGCUUCAUGAGCAAGCUCCUCGCGAGACCCCCGUCAGUAGGCGUCUCGAGCUGACCGAAUGGCGCCACCUGGAGCCUCGCAAGGCCCUCUCGCGAGGCGGCCUCCCGAGGCCCCCUCUCGGAGGCGAGCAAAUCAGGGGCUGCUCAGCCCGGUCAAUCUUGAAUCUUCACGUGGGCAACGCGCGCGGCGACGAGCGAUGCCAGAGGUCGUGCCAGCAGACGCCGAUAAGGAGGUUUUCCUCUUUCGUGCUAAGGGAGCAAGGCCAUCAUGCCAGUUCCCAAAGAAACCCCCAAUUAGGUUGCCCCAAUGGUGCAAGAAGACCAAGACGACAGGCGCAGGGCCGAGGUCAUCACCGAGGUCAGCGGCGCGUCAUGGACGGUGGCUUUGCAGGCGAAGACCACCGAUAGAAUGCGCCCUUAUCCCCCUUCAAAAUUGCAAUUGUGUGGCAACCCUUCCCGCCAAUGUCUUCGGGGGAAGAGGACCAAGGCAAGUAUAAAGGAGGGCAGGGUGCUGCUUUAGUGAAGGAUCGACUCCCUUGUACUCUCAUCCUCUCUCGCGAGUGCAAUCCAAACCAAGCAGGAGUAGGGUUUUACACCGCAAGAUGGCCCUUUAACCUGGGUAACUGUUGUGUCUCUGGCCCACUCCCGCUAGCUCGCUCUAGCUAUUGCCUCGCUGUGGUUAGCUGCAGGAAAGACUAGGGCGGUAGGAACGAGGGCACCCCAGAGUUCGAACCUUUGGGUCCCCGGAGCCCUGAUUCCGACAUUUGGCGCGCCAGGUAGGGGUGUGCUGUCGUUCUUCCGAUUCGCUCUGCCUUCUGCUUCGUCAAGCUCCAUGGCUGACGCCCGCCGCGAGCGUGCUAAGCGUCGGGCAGGUCGCAUCGCCCAGACGGAGCCUGUGGGCUGCGGCAACCGCCGCUGCCCGGCUGGAGCUGAGGCUGCCGCCGCCACCGACCCUGCUGCCCGCGAGUAGCAAAACUCCUUCAUGCACCCCCUCCGUGAGGCCCAACAGCCACACCGUCCUCGCAGGUGGCAUCCCCACGGGCGAUGUGGGCUGCUAGGCCUUCACCAGCGAGCUGCGUCGGGUAGUCUGGCCUACAAAAUUUAGGCCGCAGCUGCCCCCGCGCUACAACGGCGCCCUCGGCCCCGCAAGGUUCCUUCAGCUCUACGCGCUAAGCAUCGAGGCGGCGGGCGGCGAUGACAAGGUCAUGGCAAACUGGUUUCCUGUGGCCCUCGAGGACGGGUCGUGCUCCUGGCUCAUGAGCCUUCCCGAGGCCUCGAUCUCUUGAUGGGACGAGCUCUGUGACCAAUUCGUCGUGCGCUUCGCCUAGCUCGGCAGGGGCGCCGGGGCCUUCCAGGAGCUCCACGCAGUGGCAUGCAUCCUCGGCGGGGUUCAGGCCCCUGUGUUCGAUCACCGCCGAAAGCAGCCCUCUCGCAAGGUGAACGCUGCUUCCCAGGGGCCCAAGGCUGCGCGGCCCCCCCGAGCGGACGCAAUGCGACAUCACCUUCGACUUCGGAGAUCACCCCAGGUCCACGACCGCUGCAGGUGCGCUCCCCAUGCUGUGCACCCCAACCAUCAGCAACGUCGCGGUCACCAAGACCCUUAUCGACGGGGGCGCUGGCCUCAACGUGAUCUCCAUCGAGACCUUCGAGGCGGUCCAAGUGCCUUACGACCAGCUGAUGCUGACCAGGCCCUUCUCUGGGGUGAUAGAUGGGUCUACCAUCCCCCUUGGGCAGGUGCACCUCCCUGUCACCUUUGGCACCCGUGAGAACUACCGCACCGAUCUCAUCGACUUUGAUCUGGCGCGCAUUGGCCUGCCAUACAACGCCAUCUUGGGCUACCUGGCACUCGCCAAGUUCAUGGCGGCGACCCACCCCAACUACAAUGUUAUCAAGAUGUCUGGCUGCAGCGGUGUUAUCACCGUCGCUUGCAACGAGAAGGAUGCAGUUUGCUCCUCAUGCACGCGUACAAGGCCGCGGCGUUCACACACUCGACUGCCAAGGGCGAGGCCAAGCCUCCCGAGGCCGUGAUAACCCACAAGUAUAGGGGAUCAUUGUAGCCUCUUUCGAUAAGUAAGAUUGUCGAACCCAACAAGGAGCUAAAGGUAGAACAAAUAUUCCCUCAAGUUCUAUCGACCACCGAUACAACUCUACGCAUGCUUGACGUUCACUUUACCUAGAACAAGAAUAAAACUAGAAGUACUUUGUACGUGUUUUUGGAUAGGUUUGCAAGAAUAUAAAGAGCACGUAAAUAAAAGCUAGGGGCUGUUUAGAUAAAGACACAACUAAAUUAGUUUUAGUAAAGUGCUUUUUGUCACGAGAAAGUUAUUUGUCCCUAGGCAAUCGAUAACUAGACCGGUAAUCAUUAUUGCAAUUUUAUUUGAGGGAGAGGCAUAAGCUAACAUACUUUCUCUACUUGGAUCAUAUGCACUUAUGAUUGGAACUCUAGCAAGCAUCCGCAACUACUAAAGAUCAUUAAGGUAAAACCCAACCAUAGCAUUAAAGCAUCAAGUCCUCUUUAUCCCAUACGCAACAACCCCCUUACUCAGGUUUGUGUUUCAGUCACUCACGCAACCCACUAUAAGAGAAUCAUGAACGUAUUGCAACACCCUACAGCGGGGAUCCCUCACGCUUGCGCGACACGGAGAGCACCAUAGGACAGCACCAAUAAUAAAACAUGCCACUCAAACCAAUCUUGAUCAUCAAAUAACCCAUAGGACAAAACAGAUCUACUCAAACAUCAUAGGAUAGCCAUACAUCAUUGGGAAAUAAUAUAUAGCGUUGAGCACCAUGUUUAAGUAGAGAUUAGAGCGGGUAAGAGAGAGGUUACACCGCUGCAUAGAGGAGGGAAGAGUUGGUGAUGAUGGCGGUGAAGUUGUUGGUGAAGAUUGCGGUGAUGAUGAUGGCCCCCGGUGGCACUCCGGCGCCACCGGAAGCGAGGGAGAGAGAGCCCCCCCCCCCCUCCUUCUUCUUCCUUGACCUCCUCCCUAGAUGGGAGAAGGGUUUCCCCUCUAGUCCUUGGUCUCCAUGGCAUGGGAGGGGCGAGAGCCCCCCCGAGAUUGGAUCUGUCUCUCUGUCUCUCUCUCUCUGUUUUUGCAUUCUGGGAUUCUGCCGUGGCCCGUUUCUUUUAUAUCUGGAGAUCCGUAACUCCGAUUGGAUUGAAACCUUCGCCCAGAUCUUUUUCCAAAAAUUAGCUUUCUUGCCGCCAAAGUAGAGCAUCAACCGCCUUACGGGUGGCCCACGAGGGUCAGGGGCGUGCCUGCCCGGAGUGGGCGUGGGCCCCACCCUCGUGGCCACCUCGGGCACCGUCUCGCGUUGAUUUUACUUCCCAAAAUCACAAAUAUUCCAAAAUAAUUCUCCAUCCAUUUUUAUCCCGUUUGGACUCCGUUUGAUAUGGGGUUUCUGCGAAACAUAAAACAUGCAACAAACAGGAACUGGCACUGGGCACUGGAUCAAUAUGUUAGUCCCAAAAAUAGUAUAAAAAGUUGCCAAAAGUAUAUGAAAGUUGAAUAAUAUUAGCAUGGAACAAUAAAAAAUUAUAGAUACGACGGAGACGUAUCAGCAUCCCCAAGCUUAAUUCCUGCUCGUCCUCGAGUAGGUAAAUGAUAAAAAGAUAAUUUUUUAUGUGGAAUGCUACCUAGCAUUAUCUUGAUCAUGUAUCUAAUCAUGGCAUGAAUAUUAAGACACGAGUGAUUCAAAGCAUUAGUCUAUCAUUUGACAUAAAAACAAUAAUACUUCGAGCCUACUAAUAAAGCAAUCAUGUCUUUUCAAAAUAACAUGGCCAAAGAAAGUUAUCCCUACAAAAUCAUAUAGUCUGGCUAUGCUCCAUCUUCACCACACAAAAUAUUCACAUCAUGCACAACCCCGAUGACAAGCCGAGCAAUUGGUUCAUACUUUUUAACGCGCUUAAACUUUUUCAACCCUCACGCAAUACAUGAGCGCAAGCCAUGGACAUAGCACUAUAGGUGGAAUAGAAUAUGAUGAUGGGGGUUAUGUGGAGAAGACAAAAAAGGAGAAAGUCUCACAUCGACGCGGCUAAUCAACGGGAUAUGGAGAUGCCCAUCAAUUGAUGUCAAUGUGAGGAGUUGGGAUUGCCAUGCAACGGAUGCACUAGAGCUAUAAGUAUAUGAAAGCUCAAACUGAAACUAAGUGGGUGUGCAUCCAACUUGCUUGCUCAUGAAGACCUAGGGCAUUUGAGGAAGCCCAUUGUUGGAAUAUACAAGCCAAGUUCUAUAAUGAAAAUUCCCACUAGUAUAUGAAAGUCAUAACACAAGAGACUCUCUAUAUGAAGAACAUGGUGCUACUUUGAAGCACAAGUGUGGUAAAAGGAUAGUAACAUUGCCCCUUUUUUGCGGGCUUCUUUGGCCCCCUUUUUUUAAUGGGGCAAUGCUCUAAUAAUGAUGAUCAUCACACUUUUAUUUACUUACAACUCAAUAUUACAACUCGAUACUAGAACAAAGAUAUGACUCUAUAUGAAUGCCUCCGGCGGUGUACCGGGAUGUGCAAUGAUCUAGCGUAGCAAUGACAUCAAAAAACGGACAAGCCAUGAAAACAUCAUGCUAUCUAUCUUACGAUCAUGCAAAGCAAUAUGAAAAUAAAUGCUCAAGUCAUGUAUAUGAUGAUGAUGGAAGUUGCAUGGCAAUAUAUCUCGGAAUGGCUAUGGCAAUGCCAUGAUAGGUAGGUAUGGUGGCUGUUUUGAGGAAGAUACAAUGAGGCUUAUGUGUGACAGAGCGUAUCGUAUCACGGGGUUUGGAUGCACCGGCAAAGUUUGCACCAACUCUCGAGGUGAGAAAGGGCAAUGCACGGUACCAAAGAGGCUGGCAAUGAUGGAAGGGUGAGACUAUGUAUAAUCCAUGGACUCAACAUUAGUCAUAAAGAACUCAUAUACUUAUUGCAAAAGUUUAUUAGCCCUCGAAGCAACGUACUACUAUGCAUGCCCCUAGGGGGAUAGAUUGGUAGGAAAAGACCAUCGCUCGUCCCCGACCGCCACUCAUAAGGAAGACAAUCAAUAAAUACCUCAUGCUCCGACUUCGUUACAUAACGGUUCACCAUACGUGCAUGCUACGGGAAUCACAAACCUCAACACAAGUAUUUCUACAACCCACAACUACCCACUAGCAUGACUCUAAUAUCACCAUCUUUAUAUCGCAAAACUAUUGCAAGGAAUCAAACACAUCAUAUUCAGUGAUCUACAAGUUUUAUGUAGGAUUUUAUGACUAACCAUGUGAAUGACCAGUUCCUGUCAUCUCUCUAAAUAGAUAUAAGUGAAGCAUGAGAGUUUAAUUCUUUCUACAAAAUAUAUGCCCACGCUCUAACAAAUAUAAGUGAAGCGAAAGAGCAUUCUACAAAUGGCGGUUUUCUAUGUAAAGAGAAACAGGCAAUCCAAACUUCAAAUAAUAUAAGUGAAGCACAUGAAGCAUUCUAUAAAGCCAUACUCAAAGAAUAUAAGUGAAGUGCAAAGAGCAUUCUAUAAAUCAACCAAGGACUAUCUCGCACCAGCAUGGUGCAUAAAAGAAAAAUGAAAACUAAAUGCAAAAGACGCUACAAGAUUUGCACAUAUCACAUAAACGAAACGAAUCCGAAAACAUACCGAUACUUGUUGAAGAAAGAGGGGAUGCCUUCCGGGGCAUCCCCAAGCUUAGAUGCUUGAGUCUCCUUGAAUAUUUACUUGGGGUGCCUCGGGCGUCCCCAAGCUUGAGCUCUUGCCUCUCUUCCUUCUUCUCACAUCGAGACCUUCUCGAUCAUCGAACACUUCAUCCACACAAAACUUCAACAGAAAACUCGGUAAGAUCCGUUAGUAUAAUAAAACAAAUCACUACUCUAAGUACUGUUGCAAACCAAUUCAAAUUUUGUUUUUGCAUUGUGUCUACUGUAGUAUAACUUUUUCAUGGCUUAAUCCACUGAUAUAAAUCGAUAGUUUCAUCAAAACAAGCAAACUAUGCAUCAAAAACAGAAUCUGUCUAAAACAGAACAGUCUGUAAUAAUAUGAACAUUCACCAUACUUAUGAUACUUGUAAAAUUCUGCAAAAAUUAGAAAAAAUAAACAAUUUGUAUAGAAAAAAAGUGCAAAAAUAAUCAUAACCUUUUGACGUUCCAGUAAAAAAAUAAAAAUCGUGCACUACAGCCAAAGUUUCUGUCCUGCACCGCACAAACCAACAAGCAUUGUAAACAUCCUAAAGGCAAACCUUGGCACAUUAUUUUUAUAAUACAAUAGAAUUGUACAAGGGGAUAAUUAUUUUUGUUGAAAAGUUUCUGUAAUCAAGAUUCACAAAGUUUCCGUGAGCAUGAACAAAGUUCAAGGCUAGCUCCCACUUCAACAAUGCUUGUCUUUCUCACUUUUGCUUUUCUUUUUGAAAAGUUUCGGGUUCCCCUCUUUAUUUUUGUUGUUUUUAAACUAUAUAAAAGCACUCAACAGAAAUAAAUGACUCUCUAAAGCUUCCGGGUUGUCUCCCUGGCAGCGCUUUCUUUAAAGCCAUUAAGCUAGGCAUAUAGUGCUCAAGUAAUGAAUCCACCCGGAUCCCAAGGUAUAUCAAAGCCAAUUUUAAUUAGCAAUGAUUUGUAAUUUAGUAGUGAGCACAAAGCAACAUAUAUCAAGCAAUGACGAAGUCUAACUCUCUUCCUAUGCUUCGGCAUGUCAUAAAAUAACAAUUCAUGCACACAAAGUAAAGGCCAAUGCAUAGUAUAAGCAGUUUCUUGCAAUUUUAUCAUGUGGGAAACAUAGAGAGGUGGAGAUAUAGUUCAUCUCUCAUAAUAAUUGCAAGUAGGAGCAGCAAGCACAUGCAUAUUAUAUUCAUCAAAAUCAUCAUGUGCAAUGGUAAAAGGCAACUUAUCAAUAUAAUCCUUAAUAAGCACAAACUUCUCCGAUAUAGUGUAGUCGGGAGAAUUCAAAAAGAUAAUAGGACUAUCAUGCGUGGGUGCAAUAGCAACAAUUUCAUGUUUAACAUAAGGAACUAUAGCAAGUUCAUCUCCAUAAGCAUAAAUCAUAUUGGCAUCUUGGCCACAAGCAUAGCAAGCAUCAUCAAAAAGGGAUAUUUCAAAAGAAUCAAAGGGAUCAUAACAGUCAUCAUAGCAAUCAUCCUUCGGUAAGCACGAAGGGGAAUUAAACAAUGUAUGAGUUGAAGAGUUACUCUCAUUCGAAGGUGGGCACGGGUGAUCAAUCCGCUCUUCCUCCUUUUGUUCUUCGCUCUCCUCCUCAUCUUUUUCAUCCAAUGAGCUCACAGUUUCAUCAACUUCUUCUUCCAUAGAUUCCUGCAAAAUAUUAGUCUCUUCUUGGAUAGCGGAGACUUUCUCAAUAAGUGCAUUAAUAUCGGAAUUGUAUUCAUAAUUCUCAUAGCAAUAUUUGAGCAUAGCUAAAUUUUCAGGUCUAUAAACAGCAUCAUCAAAAUCUUCAAACUCUUUAAACAUAGAUUCAAUUUCAUAAGCACCCAUAAAAGCAACAAAUUCUUCUAUUUGUUCCACAUCAUAGUAAUCAUAUAUACCAUUAGCAUAAGAAGCUAAGGUUUUAUUAUCAUUAAAUAUGCAUGAAAAGGGAAGGUGUGGAGCCUUCAUCCUAGAGCAACAAGUAUAAUCAUAUCUCAAGCAUAGUUGCCUAGCAUACCAUUUCAACAUAUAAAUUUGAUCCCUAAAAUAUUCAUGUUGAUCCAACGUUACUCCCAUUACAAAGUUGAAUGGGGUUUUCUCAGGAUUAUCAAAGUAGUACAUAAUAUCUAUCACAUAAUGAGCAUCGAGGGUUUUAGGAGGUUCCCCAUCUCCAUGAGUAGCAAGUACAACUAAUUUUUUUGGUAUUUCGUGUUUCAUAUCCAUAACUAAAGAUAGAGAACAACUAAGAACAGCAAAUCAAAAUUACUUAGUGAUAAAGCAAACAAGCACACACGAGAAUAUUCACCCCACGCUAUUGCUCCCCGGCAACAGCGCCAAAAAAAGGUCUUGAUAACCCACAAGUAUAGGGGAUCAUUGUAGCCUCUUUCGAUAAGUAAGAGUGUCGAACCCAACGACGAGCUAAAGGUAGAACAAAUAAUCCCUCAAGUUCUAUCGACCACCGAUACAACUCUACGCAUGCUUGACGUUCACUUUACCUAGAACAAGAAUAAAACUAGAAGUACUUUGUAGGUGUUUUUGGAUAGGUUUGCAAGAAUAUAAAGAGCACGUAAAUAAAAUCUAGGGGCUGUUUAGAUAAAGACACAACUAAAUUAGUUUUAGUAAAGAGCUUUUUGCCACGAGAAAGUUAUUUGUCCCUAGGCAAUCGAUAACUAGACCGGUAAUCAUUAUUGCAAUUUUAUUUGAGGGAGAGCAUAAGCUAACAUACUUUCUCUACUUGGAUCAUAUGCACUUAUGAUUGGAACUCUAGCAAGCAUCCGCAACUACUAAAGAUCAUUAAGGUAAAACCCAACCAUAGCAUUGAAGCAUCAAGUCCUCUUUAUCCCAUACGCAACAACCCCCUUACUCGGGUUUGUGUUUCAGUCACUCACGCAACCCACUAUAAGCGAAUCAUGAAUGUAUUGCAACACCCUACAGCGGGGAUCCCUCACGCUUGCGCGACACGGAGAGCACCAUAGGACAGCACCAAUAAUAAAACAUGCAACUCAAACCAAUUUUGAUCAUCAAAUAACCCAUAGGACAAAACAGAUCUACUCAAACAUCAUAGGAUAGCCAUACAUCAUUGGGAAAUAAUAUAUAGCAUUGAGCACCAUGUUUAAGUAGAGAUUAGAGCGGGUAAGAGAGAGGUUACACCGCUGCAUAGAGGAGGGAAGAGUUGGUGAUGAUGGCGGUGAAGUUGUUGGUGAAGAUUGCGGUGAUGAUCAUGGCCCCCGGUGGCACUCCGGCGCCACCAGAAGCGAGGGGGAGAGAGAGCCCCUCCUUCUUCUUCUUCCUUGACCUCCUCCCUAGAUGGGAGAAGGGUUUCCCCUCUGGUCCUUGGUCUCCAUGGCAUGGGAGGGGCGAGAGCCCCUCCGAGAUUGGAUCUGUCUCUCUGUCUCUCUCUGUUUCUGCGUUCUGGGAUUCUGCCCUGGCACCGUUUCUUUUAUAUCUGGAGAUCCGUAACUCCGAUUGGAUUAAAACCUUCGCCCAGAUCUUUUUCCAAAAAUUUUCUUUCUUGCCGCCAAAGUAGAGCAUCAACCGCCUUACGGAUGGCCCACGAGGGUCAGGGGCCUGCCUGCCUGGAGUGGGCAUGGGCCCCACCCUCGUGGCCACCUCGGGCACCGUCUCGCGUUGAUUUUACUUCCCAAAAAUCAUAAAUAUUCCAAAAUAAUUCUCCGUCCAUUUUAUCCCGUUUGGACUCCGUUUGAUAUGGGGUUUCUGCGAAACAUAAAACAUGCAACAAACAGGAACUGGCACUGGGCACUGGAUCAAUAUGUUAGUCCCAAAAAUAGUAUAAAAAGUUGCCAAAAGCAUAUGAAAGUUGAAUAAUAUUGGCAUGGAACAAUCAAAAAUUAUAGAUACGACGGAGACGUAUUGGGCCGCGCCAGCAAGGAAGAAGCAAUUGUUCUCCGAGGACCGCGUGGAAACAAAGAAAGUGACGGUUGAUGGUAGUGACUCAGGCCUACCUUCACCAUCGGCGCCAGCGUCCCCCCUGAGCAGGAAGGUGCGCUCGUCGCCUUCCUUUGGGCAAACUCAGAUGUGUUCACCAAGAAGGCGUCUGAUUUGUUUGGAGUAUCGAGGGAGGUAAUCGAGCUCCGCUUAGCGGUGUGCCCCAAUGCACGCCCCAUCAAACAAAAGGCUCGGUGCCAGGCGCCAGAGAAGCAAGAAUUUAUCGUCCAUGAGGUGCACAAGAUGCAAGAAGCUGGAGUCAUCCGAGAGGUGCGCCACUUGGAGUGGCUCGCCAACCCAGUCGUCAUCCGCAAGAAGGGAGGCAAGGAGCGCAUGUGCGUCAACUUCACGAGCCUCGACAUGGCCUGCCCCCAGGACCCCUUUUCGCUGCCGCGCAUCGACCAGAUCGUGGACUCCACCACCGGGUGCGACCUACUGUGCCUCCUAGAUGCCUUCUCGGGCUACCAUCAGAUAGAUGGCGGCAGAAGAUGUGGAGAGGACAGCCUUCAUCUCCCCUUGCAGCGAAUUCUGCUACACCUGCAUGCCUUUCGGCUUGAGGAGUGUUGGUGCCACCUUCCAGCGGCUAAUGCGCAUCACGCUGGGGCCUCAGCUGGGAAGGAACGCGGAGGCUUAUGUCGAUGACAUCGUGGUCAAAGCGCGUGAGGCCAGAACGCUCAUCAAAGAUCUAGAGGAGACAUUCACCAACUUGCGCAAAAGUGCGUCUUUGGAGUCCCAUCUGACAAGCUCCUCAGCUUCCUCAUAUCCCACUGAGGAAUCAAAGCCAACCCAUAGAAGGUCAUGGCCAUCAAGAGGAUGCGCGCUCCCCGGACCCUCAAGGAAAUGCAGCGAUUGGUGCGGUGCAUGGCCUCCCUAGGGCGCUUCAUCUCCAAGUUCGGCGAGCGAGCCUUGCCAUUCUUCAAGCUCAUGAAGACGCCCGGUCCCUUCGAAUGGACUCUUGAGGCAGACACGGCCUUUGAAGAUCUCAAGAGGUACCUCACGAGCCCGCAUCAUGGUCACACCGCGCCCUCGCGAGCCCUUGCCCUUUACAUGGCAGCCACCCCCAGACGGCCAGUGCAGCGCUCGUCGCGGUAUGGGAGGAGCGUGUCAGUGCUAAGGAGAAACCUUCCAAGCCUCGUGAGCUUCCCGAGUCCCCCGGGCCUCACGAGCCCUCCGAGCCCCGCGAGCCUCACGAGCCCCCCAAGCCUCACGAGCCACCCAUGGAGCAAGCUGCCUCAACCGCCUUGCACCUCAUCGAGCACCCCGUGUACUUCGUCAGCACAGUGUUGAGGGAUGUGCGUGAGCGCUACCCCAUGUAGCAGAAGCUCGUCCUCGCGCUUCUCGUCGCCUCCAGGAAGCUGCACCACUAUUUCCAUGGCCACCCCAUUAAGGUCAUUUCUGCGUACCCCCUCGAGCAAGUCCUAGCAGCCCCAACACAGCUGGCCGAGUCGCAAAAUGGAACAUCGAACUGCAGGCCUUCCAGCUGGAGUUCUUCACCACCAGGGUCAUCAAGGGUGCGGCCCUCGCCGACUUCGUGGUAGAAUGGACGGCCCCGUGUGAGGAAGAACCUCGCAAAAACAAGUCCCUCCUGCCUGGGGACGAGGCACCCAGUGGCUUAGGUGGUAACAUAACACAUUUCAAGAAAAAUUUGCUUAUGUGACAUGAAGUUAAUGAGGAGAGAGAUGCUUGUGGUAACAUAAUAUGUUACUGUAACGUAACACACCCCGAGGUAAAAUGAGUCUAUAUCUCAAUUAAUGAAGGCUUGCAUGUUACCAUCUAUAUGUUACUACCCAUUAUGAAGGUAGUAACUUAGACUAGUAAUAACAUAUGCAUGUUACUACUCCCUCCGUCCGGUGAAAAGUGUACAUAUAAAUUUUUUAGGACAAAUUAUGGAGUGGAGUAGAAAUGCAUUGGAAAGGUGCAAGCCACCAUCUCUCUCCUCAUUAAUUACCCAACCCUCAAUGACUAAGUGCAUGUAGAAAUUAAGGACAUCAUAUGUAGAAUGUUAUUGGUCUUGAUUACCAUGUGAUGAGAGAGAAACAUUUUUUCCUACUUUAAAGUGUAUUGGGAAGAUAAAAGUACACUCUUUUGUGGACAAAUUUUAAAGCCAAAUGUACACUCUGGAAUGGACGGAGGGAGUAGUCUAUGUUACUCCCCACUAUGACUAGCCUAAGAGCAUCUCCAACAGGUGCGCUAUCUUAGCCGUGCAAUGUGAAAAACGACCAUUCUGCACGCGCGCGACCGAAAUCGGCGCUCCAGCAGACACGCUAAAAUCAUGUGCGCGGCAAAGUUGGUUUAGUGCGCUGGGGAAAACGGCAUUGCGAGCGGCUUAUUUGGUGGCGAGGACAUAUACCUAGGGUAGGCUCCUAGGCCUGACCUACAUACCCUACCCAUGGACACCGCAUACAAGAAUCCAAGGCCCACAAAGUUACGAAGGAGUCGCCAACUGGGAUACCUGCAACUUACAAGUCACUCGGAGGAGGGAUUCACUCGGUGAUCUCACCAACACUCGACUGUCACUGGUCACUUGAAGUACCAAGCGUCACUCGACCACAGAAGGCUUAGAGUCACCCCGAGAUAGCAACAGUCAAGAGAUCAGUUCGCCGUCAUAAAGAACAUCUAAUGUUGGCGUUACCUGUAACUCUUGCAUCCUUUAACCUCUCAAUUGAACCCUUGGGUGACGGGGCAUUCAUGAAGGGCCAGCAGACUUUAUAUAAGCCGCCCCUCUACCCCUGCACAAGGGUUCGCACCUUCUAUAACUCAACACUCCAGAAAAACAAAGCUCCCGCAGCACCGAGGCGUAGGGUCUUUACCUCUUCUGAGAGGGGCCUGGACUCGUAAAUCCAAGUGUACAACCACACCAUAGCUAGACUCUGCCCUCUCAUACGUACCCAUAUACUCUACUACCAGAUUUGUUCCCAUGACACUUGGCGCCCACCUUGGGGCAGGCGUCUAAGCGGCUUCCUGCAUGGUUGCGUUUUUCAUCAUCUUCACCAUGGUUUCCGGCGGCGGACUGUCCCUGGGUUGUGAGAUCCGUCUUGGCGCUCUCAGCUUCAUCGUCCAUGAUUCGGCGUGGCUCCAAGAAGCCCCUCUGGACGUAGAGGCGAUCCCUAUUCGCGGGGCAGCGCACUUCCGUGCAAACUCCUACGGUGUCCUCCUCCGGCAGCCGUCGAAUCAGUAUCAGUCGGCUCCAGUGGCGUUUCCCCUGCCCACUGCUCGCCGUCACAAAUGAUACGGUCGCUCUCGGCUCCAGCAGUGGGUGAGGCACGCGGUGGCUCGUCAGUCUUCCACUCUGCAGAUCGCGGCGAUCAAGCCUGAUGAAUCCCUCUACGACAUGUUCGAUCAGUUGUCAGACCACUCUGAUGUUCCAUCCGAGUGUGAGAGUAGUGACUCGGCGGUGGAGGUAUUUAUGGACGGCUCUCAUCGUAGCCCGCCAGGGAUUCCCCAUGAUGGAGAUGGGAGCGAUGGUCCGUCGCAUAUCAAUGACGAGUAUUACCUGCAUCCCCUCGCUGCUGAACAAAGGGAAGAGCUAUUGCACAUGAACGAUCAAGUCCUUCAGACUCCCAUCGCUGGCACGACCGCCAAGGCCCGGGCUUUGGAAGCUGUGCACAUAGCCACUCUGGCAGAACGCACGCGUCUUGAGGAGCUCCAGAAAUCGCUCGACGACCGCACUCGCAGGCAACCCACAAACUCCAAUCGACGGCAGCGGAAACUGUUCCCGAGUGGAUCGCAAAACGAGUACCAGGUAUUCGGCACUCCGAUUCAAAACGUAGCCGCCGCUGCGCGGAUUGCAUAUUCUAUCCAGCCGUCUGAUACGUCUCCAACGUAUCUAUAAUUUAUGAAGUACCCAUGCCAUGUUUACAACAAUUUUAAAUGGUUUUGGUAUGAUUUGAUUAGAACUAACCCGAACUGACACUGUUUUCAGCAAAACUACCGUGGUGUCGUUUUUUGUGCAGAAAUAAAAGUUCUCGGAAUGGGCUGAAAAUUUAUGGUGAUUUUUAGGGACCAAAAGAGAACCCCGAGGCACAAGAGUUGAACCAGAGCUUCAUGAGGAAGCGGCAAGGGUGGAGAGCGCGCCCCCUUGGCUUGUCGCUGCCUCGUGGACCCUCUUGACUUGAGACCGAUGCCAAAAAUUCCUAUAAAUACCAAAACCCCAGAAAGAAACCUAGAUCGGAAGUUCCGCCGCUGCAAGCCUCUAUAGCCACAAAAAAUCGAUCUAGGCCCUCUCCGGCACCCUGCCGGAGCGGGCCAUCAUCACCGGAGGCCAUGGAGGAGGAAGCCGGAGGGGGCCAUCAUCACCAUGGAGGCCAAGGACCAGAGGGAGAACCUCUCCCCAUCUAGGGGGGAGGCCAUGGAGGAGGAAGCGCAAGGGGGAGACCCUCUCCCCCUCUCUCUCAGUGGCGCCGGAGUGCUGAUGACCCACAAGUAUAGGGGAUCUAUCAUAGUCCUUCCGAUAAGUAAGAGUGUUGAACCCAACAAGGAGCAGAAGGAAAUGACAAGCGGUUUUCAGCAAGAUAUUCUCUGCAAGCACUGAAAUUAUCGGUAACAGAUAGUUGUGUGAUAAGAUAAUUCGUAAUGGGUAACAAGUAACAAAAGUAAACAAGGUGCAGCAAGGUGGCCCAAUCCUUUUUGUAGCAAAGGACAAGCUUGGACGAACUCUUAUAUAAUGCAAAGCGCUCCCAAGGACACAUGGGAAAUGUUGUCAAGUUAGUUCUCAUCAUGCUCAUAUGAUUCGCGUUCGUUACUUUGAUAAUUUGAUAUGUGGGUGGACCGGUGCUUGGGUGCUGCCCUUCCUUGGACAAGCAUCCCACUUAUGAUUAACCCCUCUCGCAAGCAUCCGCAACUACGAAAGAAGAAUUAAGAUAAAUCUAACCAUAGCAUGAAACAUAUGGAUCCAAAUCAACCCCUUACGAAGCAACGCAUAAACUAGGGUUUAAGCUUCUGUCACUCUAGCAACCCAUCAUCUACUUAUUACUUCCCAAUGCCUUCCCCUAGGCCCAAACAAUGGUGAAGUGUCAUGUAGUCGCCGUUCACAUAACACGACUAGAGGAAAGACAACAUACAUCUCAUCAAAAUAUCGAACGAAUACCAAAUUCACAUGAUUACUUAUAACAAGACUUCUCCCAUGUCCUCAGGAAAAAACGUAACUACUCACAAAGCAUAUUCAUGUUCAUAAUCAGAGGAGUAUUCAUUAUCAUUAAGGAUCUGAACAUAUGAUCUUCCACCGAAUAAACCAACUAGCAUCAACUACAAGGAGUAAUAAACACUACUAGCAACCCAUAGGUACCAAUCUGAGGUUUUAUGACAAAGAUCGGAUACAAGAGAUGAACUAGGGUUUGAGAGGGGAUGGUGUUGGUGAAGAUGUUGAUGGAGAUUGACGCCCUCUUAAUGAGAGGAUCGUUGAUGAUGACGAUGGCUUCGAUUUCCCCCUCCCGGAGGGAAGUUUCCCCGGUAGAACAGCUUCGCCGGAGCCCUAGAUUGGUUCUGCCCAAGUUCCGCCUCGAGACGGUGGCACUUCGUUCCGAAAGCUUUCUUCUGAUUUUUUCUAGGUCAAAACACACCAUAUAGCAGAAGAUGGGCGUCGGGGGCCUGCCAGGUAGCCCACAAGACCGGAGGGCGCCCCAGGGGGUAGGGCGCGCCCUCCACCCUUGUGGAUGCUAGGUGGCCCCCCUCUGGUGCUUUAUUUGCCCAAUAUUUUUUAUAUAUUCCAAAAAAAAUUCCGUGAAGUUUCAGGACUUUUGGAGUUGUGCAGAAUAUGUUUCUAAUAUUUGCUCCUUUUCCAGUCCAGAAUUCUAGCUGCCGGCAUUCUCCCUCUUCAUGUAAACCUUAUAAAAUAAGAGAGAAAAGGCAUAAGUAUUGUGAUAUAAUGUGUAAUAACAGCCCAUAAUGCAAUAAAUAUUGAUAUAAAAGCAUGAUGCAAAAUGGACGUAUCAAUUCCCCCAAGCUUAGACCUCGCCUUGUCCUCAAGCGAAAGCCGAUAUCGAAAAAUAUGUCUGCAUGUUUAGAGACAGAGGUGUCGACAAAAUAAAGUACGGACAUGAGGGCAUCAUGAUCAUCUUUAGAACAGCAACAUAUAUUGUCAUAUAAUUUCUUAUGCUAAAGUAACAGUUUGUUCACAAAUUAAAGUAUGAAUCGGAAACUUCAUAAAAAACUAACAAACUAUUAUCUCAGUCAUUGAAGCAAUUGCAAUUUAUCAUAACAUUGAAAGAGUCAAUUCAAGAGCUUUUCAGCAAGUCCACAUACUCAACUAUCAUUUAAUCUUUCGCAGUUGCUAACACUCACGCGAUACUUAUGGGUUCAAAGUUUCAAUAGGACACGGAGAAAGAUAGGGGCUUAUAGUUUUGCCUCCCAACCUUUUACCUCAAGGGUAAUGUCAACAAUAAUACUUUGUGAUAACCUACAUCCGAGUGGAUAUAUAUAUCCGGAUCUCUCCAACACAUAGUGCUUGCCAAAGGAAAAAGUGUAAAAGGAAAGGUGAUGAACACCAUGACUCUUGUAUAAGGGUAGGAGAUAAAAGUAAAAGAUAGGCCCUUCGCAGAGGGAAGCAGAGGUUGUCAUGCGCUUUUAUGGUAGGAUGCACAAAAUCUUAAUGCAAAAGAAUGUCACUUUAUAUUGCCGCUUAUGAUAAAGAACUUUAUUAUGCAGUCCGUCGCUUUUAUUUCUUCCAUAUCACGAGUUCGUAUGAAGCUUAUUUUCUUCACACUAAUAGAUCAUACAUAUUUAGAGAGCAAUUUUUAUUGCUUGCACCGAUGACAACUUACUUGAAGGAUCUUACUCAAUCCAUAGGUAGGUAUGGUGGACUCUCAUGGCAAAACUGGUUUAAGGGAUGUUUGGAAGCACAAGUAGUAUCUCUACUUGGUGCAAAGAAUUUGGCUAGCAUGAGAGGGAAAGGCAAGCUCGACAUGUUGGAUGAUCCAUGGCAAUAUAACUUCUAUUCGGAUAUAAGAAAACAUAACCCAUUAUGUUGUCUUCCUUGUCCAACAUCAACUUUUUAGCAUGUCAUAUUUUAAUGAGUGCUCAAAAUUACAAAAGAUGUCCAAGAUAGUAUAUUUAUAUGUGAAGCCUCCCUUUCUUUAUUACUUCCUAUUAAUUGCAACAAUGACCAAAAUUAUGUUUGUAAACUCUCAACAACUUUUAUUCAUCAUACUCUUUAUAUGUGAAGUCAUUACUCCCCAUAAGAUCAAUGUAUGAUCUUUUUAUUUCCUUUUAUUCUUUAUUUUAUUUAAUUCCCUCAACAUCAUAGCAAAAUAGCAAAUCCCUCAACUCAAAACUACUCUUUAUUAUAUAUAACUCAUGGACUCAAUUACAUAGAUAGAGAUCAAAACAAAACUCAAAGCUAGAUCAUACUAAAAACUUUAUUCUACUAGAUCAAGAUAUAACCAAAAGGAUCGAACUAAGAAAAACGAUAAAGAUAAAAGAUGUGAUGGUGAUAUGAUACCGGGGCACCUCCCCCAAGCUUGGCAGUUGCCAAGGGGAGUACCCAUACCCAUGUAUUUAUGUCUCUUUCUUCAGAUGUGGUGAUGAUGGAAUUGUUGAUGAAGUAGUGCCAAACUUCGAGCGAAGGAGAAACUCCAAUCUACGAAUGAUGCUCUGGAGGGUAAUGAUAUGCUCUUGCAACAGAAUAUUUUCACGGGUAAGAUAAUUGUUUUGCACAUGAACAAAUUCAAUGAUCUUAAAAGCUUCAAUUUCAAUAGGGGUAAGAUGAUUGUAGUAAGGUUGAAGGAUGUCUUCUUCUGCUGCCGGAACUUGAUCUUCUGUGGCCUUCUUGAUCUUAUCACCCUCGUUGAUUUCCCCAAGUUCUUCUCUCUUCAUCUCCAUCUUCAUUAUCCAAGCAUUGUCGCCCGCGUUGUUGGAGGAGGGAGGCGACAUGAUGCCUGGCCUUGAAAAACUCUGGCAGAAAACGGCUCAAAACGAAAACAGGGGAUAUUGCCGUGGUACGGUGGUCAAAACCUUCGGGAGAUUAUAUAAUGAAUUUUGACCAACCAAAAGAAGUAUUAUGCAAGAAAACAGAGUCCGAAGGGCACACGAGGUGGCCAUAAGGCAGGGGGCACGCCCGGGGGGUAGGGCAGGCCCUCCACCCUUGUGGAUACCUCGUGUCUCUUUCGGACUACUUUUAAUUUUCCUUUUUUUUAAUAUUCCAAAACGGAGAAAAAUUUCUAUUAGAAUAGUUUCGGAGUCGGUUUACUUACCGUACCACAUACCUAUUCCUUUUCGGAGUCUGAAACGUUCUGGAAAGUUCCCUUACGUACUCCUUUGGGGUUACGGUAUCAAUUAUAUUGGUCUAAACAUUUAUGGGAGUACCUGAGAUAUAAUGUUUGAUUAUUUGACCGUUUACCACCUUCGGAUUUGUGCCUUCGGCGUUAUUGAUUUUUAUGGCACCAGAACGAUAGACCUCCUCGAUAAUGUAAGGACCUUCCCAUUUAGAGAGAAGCUUUCCUGCAAAAAAACUAAAACGAGAGUUGUAUAGCAAAACAUGAUCACCUACGUUAAACUCACGCUUUUGUAUCCUCUUGUCAUGCCAUCUUUUAACUUUUUCUUUAAACAACUUGGAAUUCUCAUAGGCUUGGGUUCUCCAUUCAUCAAGCGAGCUAAUGUCAAAUAACCUCUUCUCACCGGCAAGUUUGAAGUCAUAAUUGAGCUCUUUAAUAACCCAAUAUGCCUUAUGUUCUAAUUCAAGAGGUAAGUGACAAGCCUUUCCAUAAACCAUUUUAUAUGGAGACAUACCCAUAGGGUUCUUAUAAGCAGUUUUAUAAGCCCAUAAUGCAUCAUCAAGUUUCUUAGACCAAUUCUUCCUAGAUCUAUUAACAGUCUUUUGCAAAAAUCAAUUUAAUCUCUCUAUUGCUCAAUUCUACUUGACCACUAGACUAAGGAUGAUAUAGAGAUGCAAUUCUAUGGUUAUCAUUAUACUAAGCAAGCAUUUACGGAAAGCACCAUGAAUAAAAUGUGAACCACCAUCAGUCAUUAAAUAUCUAGGGACUCCAAUCCUCGGAAAAAUAACUUCUUUAAGCAUCUUAAUAGAAGUGUUAUGAUCAGCACUACUAGUUGGAAUAGCUUCUACCCACUUAGUAACGUAAUCAACAACAACUAAAAUAUGUGUAUACCCAUUAGAGGAAGGAAAAGGUCCCAUAUAAUCAAAACCCCAAACAUCAAAUGGUCCAAUAACAAGUGAAUAAUUCAUAGGCAUUUCCUGACGUCUACUAAUAUUGCCAAUUCACUGGCAUUCAUCACAAGACAAGACAAACUUACGAGCAUCCUUGAAAAGAGUAGGCCAAUAAAAACCGGAUUGCAAUACCUUGUGUGCAGUUCUAUCUCUAGUGUGGUGUCCUACGUAAGACUCGGAGUGGCACUUGCAUAGGAUAUGUCCCUGUUCAUGCUCAGGUACACAACGUCUGAUAACGCCAUCUACUCCUUCUUUAGUAAGGUGUGGGUCAUCCCAAAAGUAAUGUCUUCAAUCAUAGAAAACCUUUUCUUUUGCUGGUAUGUGAAACUAGGUGGUAUAAAUUUAGCAACAAUGUAAUUAGCAUAAUCAGCAUACCAUGGAGUAUUACGAGAAGCAUUUAUGAUAGCUAAUUGUUCAUCAGGAAAGCUAUCAUCUAUAGGCAGUGGGUCAUCAAGAACAUUUUCUAAUCUAGACAAGUUGUCUGCAACGGGGUUCUCAGCUCCCUUUCUAUCAAUAAUAUACAAAUCAAAUUCUUGUAACAAGAGAACCCAUCUAAUAAGUCUAGGUUUAGCAUCUUUCUUUUCCAUAAGAUAUUUAAUAGCAGCAUGAUCGGUGUGAACAGUUACUUUGGAAUCAACAAUAUAAGAUCUGAACUUAUCACAAGCAAAAACAACUGCUAAAAAUUCUUUUUCAAUAGUAGCAUAAUUUCUUUGGGCACUGUCUAGAGUUUUACUAGAAUAAUGAAUAACACUUAAUUUCUUAUCAACUCUUUGCCCUAGAACAGGACCAACAGCAUAAUCACUAGCAUCGCACAUAAUUUCAAAGGGUAAAUUCCAAUCAGGUGGCUGAACAAUAGGUGCAGAAAUCAAGGCUUUCUUAAGUAUUUCAAAUGCUUCUGCACAAUCAACAUAAAAACAAAAGGAACAUCUUUUUGCAAGAGAUUAGUGAGAGGCCUAGAAAUUUUAGAGAAGUCUUUAAUAAACCUCCUAUAGAAACCAGCGUGACCAAGGAAACUUCUUAUACCUUUGAUAUCUUUAGGACACGGCAUCUUUUCAAUAGCAUCUACUUUAGCUUUAUCAACUUCAAUACCUCUUUUAGAAAUUUUAUGCCCCAAGACAAUACCUUCAAUAACCAUAAAGUGGCACUUCUCCCAAUUCAAGACAAGGUUAGUUUCUUCACAUCCCUGCAAAACUCGAUCAAGGUUGCUUAAGCAAUCAUCAAAAGAAGUUCCGUAAACGGAGAAAUCAUCCAUGAAAACCUCAACAAUCUUUUCACAAAAAUCAGAGAAUAUAGCAGUCAUACAUCUUUGAAAGGUAGCAGGUGCAUUGCAUAAACCAAAAGUCAUACGGAUAUAAGCAAAGGUACCGAAAGAGCAAGUAAAAGUCAUCUUCUCCUGAUCAUCUUUUGACACAGGUAUUUGAGAAAAGUCAGAAUAACCAUCUAGAAAGCAAAAAUGUGUAUGUUUGGAUAGUCUUUCUAGAAUUUGAUCAAUAAAAGGUAGGGGGUAAUGAUCUUUCCUAGUAGCUUUAUUCAAUUUGCAAAAAUCAAUUACCAUUAUAUAACCUGUAACAAUUCUUUGUGGAAUCAAUUCAUUCUUAUCAUUAGGAACAAUAUUAAUACCUCCCUUCUUAGGGACACAACGAACGGGACUUACCCAUCUACUAUCAACAAUAGGAUAAAUUAUGCCUGCCUCCAGAAGCUUUAGUAUUUCAUUUCUUACCACUUCUUUCAUUUCGGAAUUUAACCGUCGUUGGUGAUCAACAACUGGUUUAGCAUCAUGCUCCAAAUCAAUUUUGUGCUGACAUAGAGUGGGAGUAAUGCCCUUAACAUCAUCCAGAGUAUAUCCAAUAGCAGCACAGUGCUUCUUCAGAGUUUUCAAUAAUUUCUUUUCUUCAUGCUCUGAAAGGUUAGCACUAAUAAUAAUAGGAUAUAUCUUCUUUUCAUCAAGAUAAGCAUAUUUCAAAGUAUCGGGUAAUUGUUUAAGCUCAAACACGGGAUCACCCUUGGGUGGAGGAGGAUCUCCAAGGAUUUAAACAGGCAAAUUGUGUUUCAAGACAGGCCCUUGAUUAAAGAAUAUUUCAUCUAUUUCCCUUCUUUCAUUCAUAAACAUAUCAUUUUCAUGGUCUAGCAAAUAUUGUUCUAAAGGAUCAGUAGGAGGCACGACAAUAGAAGCAAGACCAAUAAUUUCAUCCUUACUAGGCAAUUCUUUAUCAUGGGGUUGUCUAUGAAAUUUAGAGAAAUUAAAAUCAUGAGACAUAUCCCCUAAACCAACAGUAACAAUAUCUUUCUCGCAGUCUAUCUUAGCAUUAACAGUAUUCAAGAAAGGUCUACCAAAUAUAAUGGGACAACAAUCAUCUUGCGGGGAACCAAGAACAAGAAAAUCAGUAGGGUAUUUAAUUUUCCCACACAAGACUUGAACAUCUCUAACAAUCACAAUUGGUGAUAUAGUGUCUCUAUUGGCAAGCUUAAUAGUAACAUCAAUAUCUUCUAUCUCAACAGGUGCAAUAUCAUUCAUAAUUUCUUGGUAUAAGGUAUAAGGAAUUGCACUCACACUAGCACCCACAUCAAAUAAGCCAUGAUAACAAUGAUCUCCUAUUUUAACAAAAACAACAGGCAUGCCAACAACAGGUCUAUAUUUAUCUUUAAUAUAAGGUUUAGCAAUUCUAGCAACUUCAUCACAGAAAUAAAUAACAUGCCCAUCAAUAUUAUCGACCAAGAGAUCUUUAACCAUAGCAAUACUAGGUUCAACUUUAAUUUGUUCAGGGGGUGUAGGUGUUCUAGUAUAACUCUUACGAACCACAGUUGAAGCUUUAGCAUUUUCCUUUAUUCUAACAGGAAAAGGUGGUUUCUCAAUAUAAGCAGUAGGAACAAUAGGAUCAACAUUAUAAGUAAUAGUUUCUUCUUCAACUUUACUAGGUUCUACUACUUUCACUUCAAUGGGAGGAUGAUAUUUAAACCACUUCUCCUUAGGGAGAUCAACAUGAGUAGCAAAUGAUUCACAAAAAGAAGCUAUUAUCUCAGAGUCAGGUCCAUAUUUAGUGCUGAAAUCACGAAAGGUAUCGGUAUCCAUAAAAGAUUUAACACAAUCAAACUUUAGGUUUAUACCUGACCCCUUACCUUCGUCGAGUUCCGAAUCUUCAGAGUUGCAUUUAAUUCUUUCCAAUAAAUCUCAUUUGAAUUCAAUAGUCUUCUUCAUAAAAGAACCAGUACAAGAAGUAUCGAGCAUGGAUCGAUCAUUAUGAGAAAGCCGAGCAUAAAAAUUCUGAAUAAUACUUUCUCUUGAGAGCUCAUGAUUGGGGCAUGAAUAUAACAUUGACUUAAUCCUCCCCCAAGCUUGAGCGAUACUUUCUCCUUCAUGAGGCCAAAAGUUAUAUAUAUAAUUUCGAUCACAAUGAACCAGAUGCAUAGGAUAAAACUUCUGAUGAAAUUCCAAUUUCAAUCGGCUGUAGUUCCAAGAUCUAAUAUCAUCACAUAGCCUAAACCAUGUCAAUGACUUUCCCUUCAAAGAUAAAGGGAAGACCUUCUUAUUGACAACAUCCUCGGGCAUACCUGCAAUUUUAAAUAAUCCACAAACUUCAUCCACAUACAUUAGGUGCAUAUUGGGAUGUAAUGUUCCAUCUCCUGCAUAAGGAUUAGCCAGCAGUUUGUCUAUCAUACCCGAAGGAAUUUCAUAAUAAAUAUUUUCAGUAGGUGCAGUAGGUUGAGGAGCAACUCUUUGCUCUUCUGGUCGAGGUGAAGAUACCCCAAACAAGCCCCUCAAAGGAUUAUUUUCCAUAGUAACAGGUGACUGUAAAUUUUAGCAAAUUAUAAAAAUGUUUCCUUACCAAAUUCCACUUACCAAAGGCGCUCCACUCCCGGGCAAUGGCACCAGAAAAGAUUCUUGAUGACCCACAAGUAUAGGGGAUCUAUCGUAGUCCUUUCGAUAAGUAAGAGUGUCGAACCCAACGAGGAGCAGAAGGAAAUGACAAGCGGUUUCCAGCAAUGUAUUCUCUGCAAGCACUGAAAUUAUCGGUAACAGUUAGUUGUGUGAUAAGAUAAUUCGUAACGGGUAACAAGUAAAAAAAGUAUAAAAGGUGCAGCAAGGUGGCCCAAUCCUUUUUGUAGCAAAGGACAAGCCUGGACGAACUCUUAUAUAAUGCAAAGCGCUCCCGAGGACACAUGGGAAUUGUUGUCAAGUUAGUUUCCAUCAUGCUCAUAUGAUUCGCAUUCGUUACUUUGAUAAUUUGAUAUGUGGGUGGACCGGUAGCCUCCCACUUAUGAUUAACCCCUCUCGCAAGCGUCCGCAACUGUGAAAGAAGAAUUAAGAUAAAUCUAACCAUGGCAUGAAACAUAUGGAUCCAAAUCAGCCCCUUACAAAGCAACGCAUAAACUAGGAUUUAAGCUUUUGUCACUCUAGCAACCCAUCAUCUACUUAUUAAUUCCCAAUGCCUUCCCCUAGGCCCAAACAAUGGUGAAGUGUCAUGUAGUCGACGUUCACAUAACACCACUAGAGGAAAGACAACAUACAUCUCAUCAAAAUAGCGAACGAAUACCAAAUUCACAUGAUUACUUAUAACAAGACUUCUCCCUUGUCCUCGGGAACAAAAGUAACUACUCACAAAGCAUAUUCAUGUUCAUAAUAAGAGGGGUAUUAAUUAUCAUUAAGGAUCUGAACAUAUGAUCUUCCACCGAAUAAACCAACUAGCAUCAACUACAAGGAGUAAUCAACACUACUAGCAACCCACAGGUACCAAUCUGAGGUUUUGAGACAAAGACCGGAUACAAGAGAUGAACUAGGGUUUGAGAGGAGAUGCUGCUGGUGAAGAUGUUGAUGGAGAUUGACCCCCUCUCGAUGAGAGGAUCGUUGGUGGUGACAAUGGCUUCGAUUUCUCCCUCCCGGAGGGAAGUUUCCCAGCAGAACAGCUCCACCAGAGCCCUAGAUUGGUUCUGCCCAAGUUCCGCCUCGAGACGGCGGCGCUUCAUCCCGAAAGCUUUGUUCUAAUUUUUUUCCAUGUCAAAACACACCAUAUAGUAGAAGAUGGGCGUCGGGGGCCUACCAGGUGGCCCACAAGACCGGAGGGCGCGCCCUCCACCCUUGUGGAUGGCAGGUGGCCCCCCUCUGGUGCUUUCUUCGCCCAAUAUUUUUUAUAUAUUUCAAAAAUAUUCUCCGUGAAGUUUCGGGACUUUUGGAGUUGUGCAGAAUAGGUCUCUAAUAUUUGUUCCUUUUCCAGUCCAGAAUUCCAGCUGCCGGCAUUCUCCCUCUUCAUGUAAACCUUAUAAAAUAAGAGAGAAAGGGCAUAAGUAUUAUGAUAUAAUGUGUAAUAACAGCCCAUAAUGCAAUAAAUAUUGAUAUAAAAGCAUGAUGCAAAAUGGACGUAUCAAGUGCCGCCGGGGGAACCAUCGCCGCGGUGAUCGUCUUCAUCAACAUCACCAUCUUCAUCACCUUCCUCAUAUCGUUUAAGCGGUCCACUCUCCUGCACCCCGCUGUAAUCCCCUACUUGAACAUGGUGCUUUAUGCCACAUAUUAUGAUCUACUAGCACAUAUGCCCGUGUGUUGCAACGGAGAUAUUUUUUACGAGAAGCAUCAGAGAGAUAAUUGAUGUGUCCAUCAAAACGGUCUCCAUAGUGGUGGGGCUACAGAGCGAGGAGCUGCGAUGUUCUCAAGGGUCAUGUUUGGCCCACGAGAUCUUAAUAGUAAUGGGGUUGGUCGGAGUGGUGGCCACCACCCAACUUGUGCCUUUUUUUUCUUCGUGUCCGCCACCGUGUCUAGGUUGUGGUUGCCUCCUCAUUUUGUGGUAGCACGGCGACCUUCAGGGCAUGGUUGCUUCGACCACUCCUCAUAUGAUGGCGUAACAGAUAUAGUACAAAUUGCAGCGAAUCCCAUUUCAUUGGUAUAAUCAACACAUAACCAGGUAGGCCCUACUUUACCAGGUUUUAUUCUCUGUAAUUAUUUCAGCGAUCACUUGCCCACAUAUUUUUAGUCAGAGCCAAACCAACAUCUCCUCUUUUAUUGCUAUGUGCCCACAAUUUCUUUUAAUUAUAGUCAACAAACAUAUUCUUUUUUAUUGUCAAAUAGCACGUCGGAUGCACAACAGUUCAAGUCUGGCCAGGCAAGUGGCAGGCACCAAAACGACAUGUGUUUGUAAGGCACGAACACAAAUCCAAAAUAACCACUGAGUUGAAGGAUCAAAUUCAUGACAUCAAAAACUCGACCACGUGCUGCUAGCCACUCGAACAAAUAGCUCCUGCUAACAAAUGGCCAGCGUGAAUGUUUAAUAAUAUACUGUAGCGUACCAUUCAAAACAUUUUUUCCUCAUCUUAUUGAACUCAUCAAAAAAUAAAUUAAUAAUUAUGAUAUCUCGAAUAUUCUUCGAAACAUGAAAAUUUAUUGAAAUUCACAAAAAAUUAAAAACAUGAACCUUUUAAAAGAAAACGAACAUUUUUUGAAUAUGUGAACAAUUUUUGAAAAUGAAAUAUGUUUUGAACAUUGAAACACUUUUCGAAAACAUGUUUUCUAACACAAGCAUUACUUUGAAUUUGUGAACGUUUCAAUAAAAAUGAAUAUUUUUUGAAUUUGUAUCAUUUUCGAAAUGCAAUUUAUUUUGAAAAUAUCAAACAAUUUGGGAAAACUUAAAAACAAUUAAAAUGCGAAAAAUUUCAAUAGUUUUCAAUAAAUUCCGGAAUGGGAAGAAAAAUCUAAAAUUUGGAAAAAUUUCAAAAUGGUAAAAAUAUAAUAAAUUCUGGAGAUUUUACGAAAAUUUAAUUAAAAACUAAAAUUCUAAAAAAUUGAAUUUAUAAAAAAGGAAAAAACAAAAAGAAACUUGGAAGAGAAAAAAGAAAAAGGAAAGAGAAAAUAAAAAGGGAAAAGAAGCAGAACAGAGAAAAAAAUAAAAACGGGCCGUCCCAAUACUGGGCGACAUAUGCGAAACUUCAUCUAUUUUUGGCCCAGUGCGGUAAAUAAUGGUUCUCAGCUGCAUGGACAGGAAAUAAAUGGGCUCGGCCUCAGCGCGCGCGGCCACGUACGAAAUUUUGGAUAAAACUGUUUCUUUUAUGGCAGAUGGACACAUAAAAAAUUAGUACCACCUUGGAUAGAACAAAAAAUCGGUGGUGAACGGAUGAAAAAAUCGAAGAAACGCACCUUGCUUUAUUAGUAGGUAUAGAAAUGAUGUGUUGCCAUCCUAUGAUGUUCUGAGUAGAUUUUUUUUGUCUUUGGGUUGAUUGAUGAUCUAGAUUGGUUUGAGUUAAAUGUUUUAUUUUGGUGCUGUCCUAUGGUGCCUUCCGUGCCGCGCACACGUGAAGGAUUCCCGUUAUAGGGUGCUGCAAUACGUUCAUGAUUCGUUUAUAGUGGGUUGCUAGAGUGUCAGAAGCUUAAACCCGAGUAAGGGGGUUGUUGCGUAUGGGAUAAAUGGGACUUGAUACAUUAAUGCUAUGGUUGAGUUUUACCUUAAUGAUCUUUAGUAGUUGCGGAUGCUGGCUAGAGUUCCAACCAUAAGUGCAUAUGAUCCAAGUAGAGAAAGUAUGUUAGCUUACGACUCUCCCUCAUAUAAAAUUGCAAUAAUGAUUACUAAUCCUGUUAACAAUUGCCUAGGAUAAUUCCGCAUACCGAUCCAUCAUUAUUCCACACUCGCUAUUUAUAAUAUAUAGUAAUAUAUUCUAACCUUAUGUUAACAUCACCUAUUUUUAUAUUUUAGUUCUCUGAUAUUAUGCAAAGCUAUCCUCUUCAUACCCACAACAUAGUUUUAUUUCUCGUUUCUAGAUGGAAGCAAACGUUCGAUGUACGUAGAGCCAUAUCAGUGGCAGAUAGGACUUGAGAUAAUAUUGAUCUUACCUCUUCAUACCCACGAGUUCUUGUUUAGUUUUGUGUGUAUGAAGUUUUUAAGAUUUAGGGAAACUGUGAUAUAAAAGGAAUUAAGGAGACGCAAAAGCUCAAGCUUGGGGAUGCCCAAGGCACCCCAAGAUAAUAUUUCAAGAAGUCUCAAGCAUCUAAGCUUGGGGAUGCCCCAGUAGGCAUCCCACCUUUCUUCAUCAACAAUUAUCAGUUAGUAUCGGUUGAGCCUAAGUUUUUGCUUCUUCACAUGAGUUGUGCUAUUCUUGGAAUGUAAUUUUGUUUUGUUUUACUUUCUGUUUUAAUAAAAUACUUAGAUUUGAAAGUUUUUAAAUAAGAGAGAGUCCUCAGUUAGCUACCCCUUUACUUAACUACUCGCUUGAUCUUCACUUAUAUCUUUUUGGAGUAGUUUGUCAUUUACUCUUGUGCUUCACUUAUAUCCUAUGAGUAAAUUGUUGAAUGAAUUGAAUAUCAUGAAGUUGAAAUUAUAUGUUCAUAUCAUGCGUAGUAGUAGCUCCACAUUGGGUUUAGAAGUGAAAUAUUUUGAAGCUUGACAAUCACAAUAUUGGUCAUACAAGCGAUUCAUGAAUGAUUAGUAUAAGGAAGAGAAAUUUCACAUACAAAUAUAUUAUCUUGGACAUCUUCUAUGAUUGUGAAUACCCAUUAAUUAUUUUCAAACUUGAGCAAACUAGUUGAAGUUGGACAAGGAAGACAACGUAAUGAGUUAUCAUUGUGUAUAUUUGCAUAGAAGUUAUAUUGUCAUGGAUCCUCCAACAUGUAGUGUUUGCCUAGGAUCUUUUGCUAGCCAAAAAUUCGUACUAAGUAGAGAUACUACUUGUGCAUCCAAAAACCCUUAAACCCAGUUUCUUUCCAUGAGUGUCCACCAUACCUACCUAUGGAUUGAAUAAGAUCCUUCAAGUAAGUUGUCAUCGGUGCAUAAAGCAAUAAAAAUUGCUCCUAAUUAUGUUUGAUCUUUUAUUGUAAGGGAAAAUUCAGUGUUGUAUGAACUUGUGAUGGCAGAGUAAAUAAAAGUGACGGACUGCAUAAUAAAGGUUGCUAUCAUAAGGGGCAAUAUAACGUGGCGUUCCUUUGCAUUAAGAGCUUGGGCAUCCAAAUAAAAACACAUGGCAACCUCUGCUUCCCUCUGCAAAGGGCCUAUCUUUUACUUUUCAGUAUUUACUUUUAUGCAAAGAGUUAAUAGUAUGCAUUCUCAUUUCAACCUCAAUUAUUCUCUAGUUGGCAAGCAUCAUGUGGUGGGGAAAGAUCUAGGCACAUAUGACCAGUCAAAUAUAUUUUAUCAUGAAUUAUUAUUGUUGACAAUUAUCUCUAUGAUAAAUGAGUUGGGAAGCGAAACAUUAAGCCCCUAUCUUUCUCUGUGUUCGAUGGAUGCCAUUUGUUCUAAGAAUAUGCUUUGAGUACUAGCAAUCAUGGAAGACUAUAUGAUGAUAGAGUAGGUGGAGCUCUUACUUAGACUCUAUUGGAUAAGUUGAAUUGCAAUUGUUUGGUGACUAAGAAUAUAGGUUGUUGAGUUUCAAGAGAAUUCAUUGUUUGAACCUUAACAUGUGAAUUGGUUGCUACUUUAACAUGAUGAGUUUUAUGAGAAAGAGUUGAUGUUAUGAUGCUAGGAAAUCGAUUGAAAUUAUCAUUGAUCAAACUUAUGCAUUUUGCUAGCAUUCACACUUCAUAGAUUAUUUCUUUUAUCAUUUACCUACUCGAGGACGAGUAGGAAUUAAGCUUGGGGAUGCUGAUACGUCUCCAACGUAUCUAUAAUUUAUGAAGUAUUCAUGUUGUUAUAUUAUCAUUCUUGGAUGUUUUACAAUCAUUUUAUAGCAACUUUAUAUCAUUUUUUGGGACUAACCUAUUGACAUAGUGCCCAGUGCCAGUUGUUUUUUGCUUGUUUUUUACAUCGCAGAAAAUCAAUACCAAACGGAGUCCAAAUGCAGCGAAACUUUUUGGAGAUUUUUUUGACCAGAAUACAUCCAGUGGGCCAAAGAAGUGCCAGAGGAGAGCCCCGAGGGGGGCACAACCCACCAGGGCGUGCCUGGAGGCCGAGGCGCGUCCAGGUGGGUUGUGCCCACCUCGGUGGCUUCCCGCACUGCCUCUUCACCCUAUAAAUUCCCAAAUAUUCCAAAAACCCUCGGGGUAACCCUAGAUCAAAAGUUUCGCCGACACGAGCCUUUGUAGCCAUGAAAAACCAAUCUAGACCCCAUUCUGGAACUACGCCGGAGGGGGAAAUCAUCACCGGUGGCCAUCUUCAUCAUCCCGGCGGCCACCAUGAUGAGGAGGGAGUAUUCCACCCUAGGGGCUGAGGGUUUGUACCAGUAGCUAUGUGUUUAAUAUAUCUCUCUCUCUCUCUCGUGUUCUUGAGAUGGCACGAUCUUGAUGUAUCAUGGGCUUUGUUAAUAUAGUUGGAUCAUAUGGUGUUUCUCCCUCUCUAUCUUGUUGUGAUGAAUUGAGUUUUCCCUUUGAGAUUUCGGUUUAUCGGAUUGAAUACUUUUAUGGAUUUAAGAGCACUUGAUAUAUGUCUUGCAUAUGAAUACCCGUGGUGACAAUGGGGUAUUGUAUUGAUUCACUUGAGAUAUGUUUUGGGACUCAACUUGCGGAUUCCCGAGGUGACAGUGGGUAAUCUACACAUAGGAGUUGAUGAACGUUCUUGUCUUUGUUUCUCCGGUAGAAAUCUUGGGGCACUCUUUGAGGUUCUUCGUGUUGGAUUGAGUAUUAUGAAUCUGAAAUUAUUUGGUGUUAUUUUAGUAUGAACUCUUGGAUAGAUCGAUCGGAAAGAAUAGCUUUGAGGUGGUUUCGUACCCUAUAAACAAUUUCUUCUUAUGUUCUCCACUAGAUAGGAACUUUGGAGUGAUUCUUCAUCGCACUUUGAGGGAUGGUUAUAUGAUCCAAUUAGAUUAGCAUUGUUGAGAGAUUGCACUAGCGAAGUACGAACCCUAGGCCUCAUUUUCAAGCAUUGCAAUAUUGUUUUUGCUCUGUUUUAUCAAUUGCUACCUUGCUGUUUUUUAUUGUUCCUAUUACAAAACUUGAUAUCUACCAUCAUUACUACACUUGUAUCACCAUCUCUUCGCCGAACUAGUGCACCUAUACAAAUUACCAUUGUAUUUGGUGUGUUGGGGACACAAGAGACUCUUUGUUAUUUGGUUGCAGGGUUGCUUGAGAGAGACCAUCUUCAUCCUACACCUCCCAUGGAUUGAUAAACCUUAGGUCAUCCACUUGAGGGAAAAUUGCUACUGUCCUACAAAACUCUGUGCUUGGAGGCCCAACAUGAGUCUACAAGAAUAAAGUUGCAUAGUAGACAUCAGUAGUCAAUCAAGUGAUGAACGAAUGGGAUGUCAGAAACCCCGCUAUGACUGGAUACCGCAACGCGGUGAGAAAGUUAGAGAAUAAAUUCGAGGGUCUGGAGCUUCAUCAUAUUCCCCGAAUCAAGAAUCAAGCGGCCGAUGAUCUGGCAAAGAUCGGAUCCACUGGGAAGCCCGUUCCCAGCAACAUGUUCCUCGAACACCUCCAUUCCCCCGUCAGUGCAGGAAGACCCUUUCACUGAAAGAGCCCCUACAGGUGAUAAGUUCCUCCAACCCGACUGAAAUCGAUGUUCCCGCAGUCAUUGACUUGGUUAUGGAGAUUCUGGUAAUUACACCCGACUGGAUAGUGUCGUACAUUGCAUAUUUACUCAGGCAAGAACUCCCAGAGGAUGAAGUCGAGGCACGUCAGAUUGUCUGUAGGUCCAAAGCUUUCACUAUGAUGAAUGGACAAUUAUACAGAGAGAAAGUAUCACGAGCGUAGCUCAACGAUGUAUUUCUCCAGAGCAAGGUCGAUUGAUCCUAGAAGAAAUCCACUCAGGAACCUGUGGUCAUCAUGCGUCUUCUCGGACAAUCAUAGCCAAGGCGUACCGAGCCGUUUUUUACUGGCCCCGUGCCAAUGAAGCCGCCAAAGAGAUCGUUCAGCAUUGCCACGGAUGCCAGUUUUAUGCAAACUUGUCCCAUAAAACUGCGUCCGCCUUGAGUACCCAGACGUGCCUGCUAGUGGCCCACGGCGUGGCUCCGUCGAUGGCCUGGUAUGGCCCAUCUUCAGCAUCGAGAAGACAAGACCCUUGCGAGGGGCCAAGCCUCGCGAGGCGGGCGACGCCUCCGGAGGGGGCAGCCUCCCUAGGCUGACUCCUGAGGAGCGGAGAUUCCUAUGUAGGCGCUCACCUCAUGAGGUUGAGGUGACGUAAGCCAUGACGAUCGAGGCCAGGCCGGCGUCAGCGGGCGCAGAGCGGCAGGUUUCCUCUUCGGUGCUAAGGAGGCAAGCGCGGGCGCGGAGUCCCGAGGUAUCAGCCAAAGGUUUCCAUUCCCGUGCUACAAGACCAAGACCGCCAGGAUGGAGGGUCAGAGGUCAUCGCCGAGCCCACCACGGCGUCACGACCAGAAGCUUUGCAGGCGAACACCACCUUUCGUUACGUAGGAUGUAAUAGUUGUCUCCCUUCAAACUGGUCGUUGUGGAAUCCCUUCCCACCUACAUUUUGGGGGAAGAGGACCGAGGCCUCUCUCUCUCUCUCUCUAUAUAUAUAUAUAUAUAUAUAUUAUAUAUAUAUUAUAUAUAUAUAUUAUAUUAUAUUAUAUAUAUAUGUUAGCCACCACCAUGGAGGGGGCGGAUCCAUUCAAACCCUCACUAGCUCACACCAACACAAGAACUGACCUCCUGAGGUUGUUCUUCCUCUGUACUAGUUCAUCCUCAGCCCCUCACGAGGCUAAUCCACCCCAAAGCAGGAGUAGGGUUUUACACCGCAAGGUGGCCCGAACCUGGGUAAACUGUCGUGUCCCUUUACUUUCCCGUUCAUCGAGCUGGGCCAUGAGAUCGACGAGCUAGCAGACUGGGGAGAUCGAGUUCUUCGCACGCACCCCAGAGUUCAAACCUUUCUCGGGUUUGCGGGGCCCUGAAUCCGACGCAUUAUCCUUAUCUUCCAGAGCCUGCUUCAUGGUGUCUAAAGAAACAACAUUCCUGAGUCGCACUUGAAGCUGACGGUUCUCAUUACGCACAUAUGUUUGAGUGAAACUACUCGGCUCAAAGGAUGGAAAGCAAGGAUGACGGUAUACACGGUCGACAAGAAUUACCUCCCAUGGUCUUCAUCUCCGUUUGGGAGCGAGCCAAGUUCCUUUUCUCCAGUUCCAGAUCCAGUUGGAGCUGGAUCUUCUCCUUCUCCAAGGCGACAUAUUGGGUCCCAAACUCAUAGGUUUUCUGAAAUCAACAAAGAAACAAUUCAAUCGGCGACGAGAAAAGAUUCUCAAACCGAGUGGAGAAGAGCCAAUGCAGUUGAUACAAAUAAAAAUUUCUUAGACCCCCAUCGAAUCAAACAUUCGACGGCGGUCUCAGGGACUACACCCGGUGGGUGCACUCAGCGUGUCCCCACUGGAUCAAUUCCCAUUCUGCGCUGCUUGCCCGAUCCGACUGAAAACCUACAAUCAAAAAUUUCUCAGACCCCCGCCGUAUCAAACAUUCGACGGCGGUCUCGGGGACUACACCCAAUGGGUGCUGUCGGCGUUCUGGGAACGGGGUUACCCAGAUUUGCCUGCCUGCGGCCCAUGGGGUGGCUCCAUACACGGCCUGGUACAGCCCAGCUUCAGCAUCAACAACUCAAGACCCUCGCGAGGGGCCAAGCCUCGUGAGGCGGACUGACACCAAGACCUCCGGAAGGAGCGGCCUCCUCAGGCUGGCUCCUGAGGAGCGGAGAUCUCUAUGCAAGCCCUCACCUUGUGAGGUUCGGAUGACGUGAGCCAUGACGACCAAGGCCACGCGGGCGCCAGCGGGCGUAGUGCAGCACUUUCCUCUUUGGUGCUAAAGAGGCAAGCACAGGCGCGGAGUCCUGAGGAAUCAGCCAAAGGUUUCCAUUCCCAUGCAACGAGACCAAGACCGCCAGGACGGAGGUCAUCGCCGAGCCCACCGCGGCGUCAUGACCAGAGGCUUUGCAGGCGAAGACUGCUUUUGUCAGGAUAGGAUGUACUAGUUGUCCCCCUUCGAAUUUGGUCGUUGUGGAUCCCUUCCCGCCUUCAUUUGGGAAGAGGACCAAGGCCACUAUAAAUAGGACUUAGCCACCACCAUGGAGCGGGGAUCGGUUCCAUCCACACACCCAGCAGCUCACUCGAGCACAAGAACACCUCUCCUCCUGAGGUUGUUCGCCCACUGUAGUAGUUCAUCCUCAGCCCCUCGAGGCCAAUCCAUCACAAAGCAGGAGUAGGGUUUUACACCGCACGGUGGCCCGAACCUGGGUAAACUGCUGUGUCCCGUUUCCUUACAGUUCGUCGAGCUAGGCUGUGAGAUUGGCGAGUAGGCAGACUAGGGAGGUUGAGUUCUUCGCACGCACCCCAGAGUUCGAACCUCUCAAGGUUCUGCGGAGCCCAAAAUCUGACAUUUGGCGUGCGAGGUAGGGGUGCGUCGGAGCCUCUCUUCUUCCAAUCAAUCCGCCACUACCCCGCAAUUCUCAUGGCUGAUGCUCUGAGGGCUCACGUUGAGCACUGGGUUAUUCGGCCUACCGGAGCAGUGUCGUCCGCCCAAGAGGAUCUCCACUCCGCGCUCCUCGCGGCCCGCACGUCGCCUGCCCUCGCGCCAUGCCGUAACCGUGCCACCACACAAUCUUCGAGCUAUGCCGCGGCGACAGCGCCGCACACUCGCCGGGAGCAGACGAACAUGGGAGCCGCACUCAUCGUGGUGCGGGAGCUGCUGUGAUGUUGGUUGGCAGAAGGCGGCCAUGAUGCCCUGCUGGAGCGGGUCGCCGAGCUGCUUGAUGCUGCCUGCAGGGGUGCAGCACCCUUCUGCACCCUGCCUACGUCGCAAGCUGUGGCAGGGGUGCGUGCCGACCUCCGCCACGCCCGUGCGCCCCUCCCUGAGCACCUGGGGGACCCAACGGCGCCAACCCGGCCGGCGGCACUACUCGUCCGACCCCAACUAUGCUACCUCCGGGCGAGGCAAGCUCGGGUGGCCCCUCUUGGGGCUGCGCCGGGACGCCACCCUACGGCCAUCAGAACUUGGCGCCGAGCCUGGUGGCCAACGACGUGGGACGCCCAAGCGAUGACCUUGCCGCGGCAAUUUCAGAUGCCUACGUACCUCCCAUGAUGGAUCUGCUGCACACAUCAAGCAAAGGCCCCUGCCCGUUCCCCUCACCAGGCUGGGCAUGAGGGGCACAUGAAGCCGAGGCUCCUCGCGAGCCGCUCCAGAGCUUCACCAACGCCUUCAAUGACAACAGUCACUGGGUAGAGUCGAUAUCUCAGCAGCACGAUUAUGCUAACCAUGGACCAUAGGUGAACCAAGCCACAGCAGCAACCAGGGACCCCAGGGUGAUGGCCCCGCCACAGGCGGGCAGAGUGCACUGGGGGCUGCGCGGGGGGAGCCCGGUGCCAGGGCCCCCUCCUCGCCGCAUGGAGCAAGACGCCGCAUGAAGGUAGGUCCCCUGCCGGGGAAGGCGCCGGCGAGCCCUUCUCCCCGGCAGAGGGCCUACGGUCGCCGGGGGCACCGCCAGCGUCUCCCUUGCCCCUUGGUCUCGUCCUGGUUUCCGGACGCCCCAACGGUGGUCGGGGGAGGCGCAGGGCGGGGCCCUCGUCAGGCGACACAGACGUACUUGAAGAUCUCCGCUCAUGACACUCUCACGUAAUAAUGAGUGGGGCUGUACAUGCCCCGGAGUCUCCUGAGUGUCACCCUCGGGCCUCACGGGGGCUCCAACCCACAUCCAAGUGGAAGCACCAUGCUCCGCGCUGGCUGUCGACACUGUCCCCCAAUGACUAUGCCCACGCCUAGUGGAAGCACUUAGCUCCGCGCUGGUGAGAAGACCAGAAGAUUAGCUAGGUGCCGGACGCGGCUAUUUGCUCCUGUCCUCUUUCUGUAACCCAAUUUGCCGUCUUUUGGAAUGAGAUUUGGAGUUUCGUGUGCUUAUCAAAAGAAAAGCGGGGGGGGGGGUUUCUUGGCUCGUAGAGAUUUCUUGCUUUCUGGCUUUGUGUUUAAAGAGUAAGGCUCACGCCUGCUACCCCCCUGGGAGCGCCCCACGAGCGGGGGCUGGGCCUGGUAUGCGCGCGUCAAGCAUGCUCGGGCUAACCCUGGCGACGCCAAGCCCCCCCCCCCGGCGGGGGGCAGGAAUGCAACCGCCGUAGAAUCUCCACGCGCACACCUUGCCGUAGUCCGGCAAUCAGCUCCUCGCAAGGCCCUCUUGGGCAGGCCAGCAGGCUCCCCGGGAGGCUUAAAACCUCGCGAGCCCUCUGAGGGCUCGCCUCAGGAGAAGGGCGCUUUCGCGACAUCAGGUCUCGCUCAAGACCUACGGAACCAAAGAUAAGUCGCGACAACUACCCUGCUCGGGAGCCUCCAGGCUCAAGACGGCGUGUCCCGAAUCCUAUUCAAAAGCUUAUCGUUGUUUCAUACAUUACAAGGGGCACCCCCUUCCAAAAUGCUCUCACGCCCCACAGGGCUGUAUUCGAAGAUUUUUUGCAUACAGGUCAGAGCAGGAAGGGGAAUGCAAGUCUAGCCGGAUGCGCUGCCGCUGGCGUUGUCCUCGUCGUCAUCAUCCGCACCACCAGCGCUGCUAGUGGCAUCGUCCUCGUCAUCGUCACCCGCAUCACCUCCCUCGGCCACAAUCACGGUCGCGCCAUCUUCAGGAGCAAACUCCGCUACCAGGUUAUCCACAUGGUCGUCCACCUAGCCCGCCAGAUUGCCCUAGAUGACCUCGGGCACGGGGGCUAUUACAGCAUCAAAGUCGAAGUGGGGGUCAAGGUUGAGGAGGUGACUGAAGACACAUGAGAACGCAUGCCAAAGAAGGCUCGGCUUCUCUCUGCAACGAGCUCGCGAGCCCGCGCAUCCCAGUCCUCGAGAUGGGUCACGAUCUCGGUGAAGAAGCGGAGGUGACUAGCGUCGUCAUCCUCAUGCGGGUGAGGGACACUCUCCUCGCAGAUGGUGUCUAGGGCUCGGUUGGCCCUGACCCUGAGAUCCUUGAGCAUCGAGGAACGCUCGCGCUCCAUUGUCUGACGGAGGCACACCUCGUUCUUGGUCUUCUCCGCGAGGGACGCAACGGACUCAGCCUGCUGCUGAAGUGAGGACAGGUCGGCGCGGGCAGAGGCUAAGUCGGCUUGGGCGGAGGCCUGAGCCUCCUUGGCGGCCCGCUCGCGCUGCUCUGCCGCGUACAGUUUCAUCUUCACGGUGGAGGUUCUACCCUCAAGCUCGGCCUGCUGCAGCUCGAAUUUCUGGCAGUGCUCGUCAACAAGGGCCACCCGAACCUUCGCCACCCUUUGAUCAACCUCCUGUUGGAUCCUCGCCUCCCAAGCAACAGUGGCAUACCUCAGCCGCGGCUGCUUGGUGCUCCCUCACCUCCAGUCGCUCGAGCUCCAGGAUGUGCUCCAAGAUCUCAAGCACCAGCGCCUCCUCGCGUUCCUAGACCUCCUUCUCAUCAGAGCGGGCCAUGCCCGAUGAUGCCGCCAGGGCGGCCCUGCGCGCCUGGAUCUGCCGCUCAAGGACGGCAUUUGAAGAUCGAAGCUCCCGCUCUCGUUCCUCGGCUGCCUCAUGACGGCAGUCGGCGGCCUAGGCUUCCUCCAAAGCAUGAGCGCAGGCCUCACGAGAAGCUGCGAGGGACACCGUGGUGCUCGCGCUCUCACGCUCAUGUUGAAGAUGCCCAAGGUUGACGGCGACCUUCAACUGGUGCCACUUGCGCGCCAAGUGGAGGCGCUCUGUCUCGAGGCGGGCGUCGACAUCGGCAAGCUCUCCUCCAAGCCGGCUCAGCGCACCCAUCGCCUCCUGGAAAAGCUCAUGGCAGACGGAGCUGCGCCCGUGCGUGAGCUCCAGCGCGCGGCCAGGCCCAUCCUUCGCGCCAAGGGCCAUCGGAGAGGCGCGUUAAUCCCCAAGUGCAGGGAAUCAUCAUAGCAAUUCCCAAAGGUGGAAGUGAUAAGUAUGGAGUGUCGAACCCACAAGGAGCUAAAGGUAAGAUCAAUAUUCUCUCAAGUCUUAUCUGCCACUGAUACGACUCUACGUACACCGAACGUUUGCUUCAAACUAGAAACGAGAAAUAAAACUACGUUGUGGGUAUGAAGAGGAUAACUUUGCAUGGUAUUGGAGAUCUAAAAUAUAAAAGUAGGUGCUGUUAUCAUAAAGUUAGAAUAUAUUACUAAAUAUUAUAAAUAGCGAGUGUGGAAUAAUGAUGGAUCGGUGUGCGGAAUUGUCCUAGGUAAUUGUUAACAAGACCGGUAGUCGUCAUUGCAAUUUGAUAUGAGGGAGAGGCAUAAGCUAAGAUACUUUCUCUUCAUGGAUCAUAUGCACUUAUGAUUGGAACUUUAGCAAGCAUCCGCAACUACUAAAGAUCAUUAAGGUAAAACCCAACCAUAGCAUUAAAGCAUCAAGUCCCCUUUAUCCCAUACGCCACAACCCCCUUACUCGGGUUUAUGCUUCUGUCACUCAAGCAACCCACUAUAAGCGAAUCAUGAACGUAUUGCAACACCCUACAGCGGGAAUCCCUCACGCUUGCGCGACACGGAGGGCACAAUAGGACAGCACCAAAAUGAAACAUACAACUCAUACCAAUCUAUAUCAUCAUUCAACCCAAGGACAAAGGAUAUCUACUCAAAACAUCAUAGGAUGGCAACACAUCAUUGGAUCAUAAUAUGUGGCAUAAAGCACCAUGUUCAAGUAGGGAUUACAGCGGGGUGCGGGAGAGUGGACCGCGUAAAAAUAGAUGAGGAUGGUGAUGAUGAUGGUGAUGUUGAUGAAGACGAUCACCGCGGCGAUGAUUCCCCUCCCGAUGGCACUCCGGCGCCACCGAGAGAGAGGAGGAGAGGAUCUCCCCCUUGUGCUUCCUCCUCCAUGGCCUCCUGUAACGCCCACGAUGCGGCUAUAUCUCUGACGUGUCGAGGCACGACUUAGAGGCAUAACCGCAUUGUAGGUUUUGUCGCAAGAAGGGUCAUCUUCACACAAUCCCAUGUAAUGAACAAGAAUGGGAUAAAGAGAGUUGGCUUACAAUCGCCACUUCACACAAUUCAUAAAUAAAUUCAUACAUCAUUCAAGAUACACACAUAGACCGACUACGGUCAAAUCCAAAUGAAAAGAAGAUAACCCCAAUUGCUAGAUCCCCGAUCGUCCCAACUGGGCUCCACUACUGAUCAACAGGAAACGAAACAACACAACGAACAAGAUCUUCAUCGAGCUCCCACUUGAGCUCGGUUGCGUCAUCUGCACUGGUAUCAUCGGCACCUGCAACUGUUUUGGUAGAAUCUGUGAGUCACGAGGACUCAGCAAUCUCACACCCACGAGAUCAAGACUAUUUAAGCUUAUAGGUAGGAUGGGGUAAUGAGGUGGAGCUGCAGCAAGCACUAAGCAAAUAUGGUGGCUAACAUACGCAAAUAAGAGCGAGAAGAGAAGCAACGGAACGGUCGAGAAGCUAGAAAUGAUCAAGAGGUGAUCCUAAUCUCCUACUCACGUCAAACAUAACCCAAACACCGUGUUCACUUCCCGGACUCCGCCGAAAAGAGACCAUCACGGCUACACACGCGGUUGAUGCAUUUUAAUUAAGUCAAGUGUCAAGUUCUCUACAACCGAACAUUAACAAAUUCCCAUCUGCCACAUAACCGCGGGCACGGCUCUCGACAGUUCAAAACCUGCAGGGGUGUCCCAACUUAGCCCAUGAUAAGCUCUCACGAUCAACGAAGGAUAUUCCUUCUCCCGGGAAGACCCGAUCAGUCUCGGAAUCCCGGUUUACAAGACAUUUCGACAAUGGUAAAACAAGUCCAGCAAAGCUGCCCGAUGUGCCGACAAUCCCGAUAGGAGCUGCACAUAUCUCGUUCUCAGGGCAACACCGGAUGAGCACUACAUACAACUAAAACCAGACCUCAAGUUUCCCCGAGGGGGCGCUGCAAGUGGCUCUAGUUCGGACCAACACUUAGAGAAGCAUUGGCCCGGGGGGGCUAAAUAAAGAUGACCCUCAGGUGGGCCGACCCAAGGGAAGGGGUAAUAGGUUCUUAGGCAAAUGUAAAACCAAGGUUGGGCCUUGCUGGAGGAGUUUUAUUCAAAGCGAACUGUCAAGGGGUUCCCAUAACACCCAACCGCGUUAGGGACGCAAAAUCCGGGAACAUAAUACCGAUAUGAUGGAAACUAGGGCGGCAAGAGUGGAACAAAACACCAGGCAUAAGGCCGAGCCUUCCACCCUUUACCAAGUAUAUAGAUGCAUUAAUUAAAAUAAGAGAUAUUGUGAUAUCCCAACAUAUCCAUGUUCCAACAUGGAACAAUCUUCAUCUUCACCUGCAACUAGCAACGCUAUAAGAGGGGCUGAGCAAAAGCGGUAACAUAGCCAAACAACGGUUUGCUAGGAAAGGUGGGUUAGAGGCUUCACAUGGCAAUAUGGGAGGUAUGAUAUAGCAAGUGGUCGGUAGCGCGGCAUAGCAAUAGAGCGAACAACUAGCAAGCAAAGAUAGAAGUGAUUUCGAGGGUAUGGUCAUCUUGCCUGAGAUCCCGCAAGGAAGAAGAACGAGUCCAUGAAGAAGACAAACGGACGUAGUCGAAUGAAUCCUCACAACUCCGAAACGGAACCGAAGCUAACCAGAGAAGCAAACCGGAAAGAAGCAAACAACAUGGUAAACAACCAUCACAUCAACAUGGCACGGUGCACAAUCAAGUAUGAUGCAUGUCCGGUUUAAAGAGGCAUGGCAUGGCAAAGUGCAACAAACAACACUACAAAUUAAGUGGAGCUCAAUAUGCAACGACUUGCAUAUUGACGAAACACCACAUCAAUUAUUUAGUUCUCUCUCGGUUAUGUACCCAACAAUAUUAAAUGUUAUUAAACAUGGCAAGGGGUGAAGCAUAAUUAAACAACCUAUCUAGGCAAGUUUAAAUGAGGCCGGAAAUAACAAACAACAAUUCCGGAAAAUCCCCAUAUGCAUAAAUAGCAAUUUAAAGGAAACAACAAUAAUAAACAUUUUUAAAUGUUGUUAUCAUGAUGCGGAUGACAAUGCAAGUUUUUAUGCAAUUUAAUGAAAAUAUUGACAUGAGCAUGUUAUGAAGCAUUUGUCACCGUGGUGGAAGAAAGGGGUGCCACGGCAACGAAUCCGAAAAUGAUGCCACGGCAACAUAUCGGUUCCGGUAGCUCGUGGAGAUACCGGCGCAAAAGAGAAUUGUGCGGAUGUGUGGAACACGCAAGAGAUGGUGGGGUGCUCCCGGCAACCGGGUUCCCAUGGGUCGAUGCCAUGGCAACGGGAACAUGCAAGAAACACGUCAGGCACGUUGCAAACGCGAGCAUUUCAUGCAACAUAUGCAUUCGUCCACGGGCGGUCAUUCUCGACGGUAUACCUUCGUAGCGUGCAUUUUCAGAGCGGUUCAAAAUCGUCGAGGGAAGUAGUCGUUCAUGGGUCGUCGUGGGAAGUAGUGGUUCACGUCUCGAAGAGGAACUUAACGGAUCCGAGGUCUCCGAUGUAGUGGUACACAUUUCGUAGACGAACUUGGCGUUCCGAAGAGGGUACUUGCCGGAUCCACAACACUGUGACCGUUCGUGGCAGGGGAACUUGAUGUUCACGGGUCUCCCAAAGACGUCGUGGUACUUGGCGUCCUUGGCGAUUCCGGAGACGGCAGUAGAGGUAUUCGACGUGUCACCAUGUAGUCGUACACUUGUCGGAGAGGAUCUUGGCGCAUCCAAAGCGAAGCAACACAAAAGGGCCUCGGGUCUUGGUGGUCAACGAAGGGAGGCGGGCGGCGAAGCAGCAGCAACGUGCCGGCACUGUACAGCCACGACGGACACCAUGGCCGUGAGGUGGAGGGGCCCUGGCACGAGACCAGCAGCGGGCACGCGCGUGCAGGAAGGCGGUGAGGUCGACAGCUUGCCCAAGUCGCGGCGGAGCGACGGGAACAGCGGUGGGCGAGGAAGCAGAGGGGAGGCGUCGCGUGGAGGAGAGUCGACGGGGCGGUGCUCGCCGGAGUCGGGGACGAAGGGGACGAACCGAGGGGCUCCUCCCCUGGCGACGGAGCUGACGAGGUGGUGGCGCCAGGUAGACGAGGAGGCGGGCGAGGAGGUCCUGGCACGGUGGCGAGCUUGAGGUGGCUGGCGACGGAGAGGUGCAGGCGCGAGCAGGAGGUUGGGCGCGCGGCGCUCGCGCGCAGAAGCGACGGGGCCGCCGGAGUUUGUCGCACCGCAGCUCAGGGCGGAGCAACACAUGCAGAAGGGAGCAGGGCGCGGCGAGCCAUGGAGGCCGGCGGUGCCAUGGCCGUGCGGGCAGACGAGCUCGCGGGGCCGUGGGGUGGUUGGCUUGAGGGGUCUCGCUCCUCUCUCUUUCUCUACGGGUGGCGGCACAAGCGAGGGAGAGGGAGAGAUCGAGAGGAGGGAGUGGCGGCGCAAGGGAUUGAGGAGGAGGGAUCGAGGGAGAGUUGCUGAGGGGAUCGGGCAUGGGGUUCGGCUAGGGUUUAGGAGGGUUAGGUGGGCCUAGAUGGCCUGCUGGGUUGCUGGGCUCUCGUCUCCCUCUCUCUUAUUUUCCAAAACAGAAAAUAACAAAGAAGAAAAGAAGAAGAAAGGAGGUGUUGGGGAAGAAGUUGGACACGCGGAUAAUUUUCCCGGACUCACAAAAAUGUGUUUGUUCCGAGAAAAUAGAAAAGGCCAUGAUUGAAAGAUUUAAAUUCAAACUCAUUUGAUUUAAAUUCAAAUGAUUUGAACAGGAAGUGAGGGUAGGGAAGGUCCAAAAAUGUUAGGAUUUUUGGUGGAGCUCUGGAAUAUGAUGAAAGAAUAAAUGGCAAGGUUGGAGACCAAGAAUUAAGAUAACAAAGGCAUUGGGAUAAUUUGCAAGUGUGUUAUGGUUAAUUCCAAAAGAAUGGAAUAUUUAUUAUAGCUCCCUAAUAUUGGGAGGAUAUGUUAUAAGAGAAGUCACCAUAUGAACUCCCUCGAUUUAAAUAGAUCAAAAAUCUAUGCAGUUUAUUUAGUUGAGUUUUAAAAAUUAAAUGACAUGAUGGCAUGAUGACAUGAUGCAAUGCAAAAUAAAUAGAGCAAGCAAAAUGAAACACACGGUGAUCACGAAAUAUAUGGAAGUCUUCUGGAGCGUCGGUCUUGGGGCGUUACACCUCCCCCUAGAUGGGGAGAGGUUAUCCCUCUGGUCCUUGGCCUUCAUGGCGAUGAUGGCCCCUCAAGGAUCCUCCUCCAUGGCCUCCGGUGAUGAUGGCCCUCUCCAGCAGGGUGCCAGAGAGGGCCUAGAUUAAUUUCUCGUGACUACAGAGGCUUGCAGCGGCGGAACUUCCGAUCUAGGUUAUUUUCUGGAGGUUUCUGUAUUUAUAGGAAUUUUUGGCAUAGGUCUCACGUCAGGGGGGGUCUUCGAGUCGUCCACGAGAUAGGGGCCCACACCCAGGGGGUGGGCGCGCCCCCCACCCACGUGGACAGCCCGAGACUCUUCUGGCCCAACUCUUUUACUCCGGGGGCUUCUUUUGGUCCAUAAAAAAUCAUCAAAAAUUGGCACGUCAAUUGGACUCCGUUUGGUAUUCCUUUUCUGCGAUACUCAAAAACAAGGAAAAACAGAAACUGGCACUGGGCUCUAGGUUAACAGGUUAGCCCCAAAAAUCAUAUAAAAUAGCAUACAAAUGCAUAUAAAACAUCUAAGAUGGAUAAUAUAAUAGCAUGAAUACUUCAUAAAUUAUAGAUACGUUGGAGACGUAUCACGGAGCGGCUCGCUUGCCUCUGGAAGGGGGCUGGAGGCCGGUGCCUUCCCGGCCGCUCUACGGGCCUUGGUGAAGGCGCUAGGCGGCAUGGUCUCGCUGCUCGAAGAUGAAGCCAAUGCUGGGGGUGCACAGCCACCAGUGAUGACAAAUGGAGGAGCCCUCUGCACGCCUCCUGCCCCCCCAGGCCAGGCCGCGAAGGAAGGACGCUGGAAGCACAUGCUCACGGCCCCCCAGCGGCGCAUCUGCCCCUCGGACCGGCCCCGUACCUCGCGCGGGAGUCUGGUGCAGGGGGCUUGGAAUCAAGAGCGGGCCAAGGACUUCUGGGGGUCGCUUCCCAGGAGGUUACACCGCCGCAGCCGAAGGGAUCCUAUGGAGCUAUGGUCAGGAAAGGACGCGGCACGCGGGAAUCACGAAGAUAAGGUACUUACUCAUCUAUGGCUAUGUACUUCCUCUGCUUCAGUGGCCGGUAGGCAUCACCACUGCAGCUCGGAGGCCCUUUCCUCUUGCGGAGUGCUUCGAGGUUCAGGCGAAGCUUGCCAAAGUUCGGGGCAUGGCUCUCGGCAGCUGGAGCACUCGGCAGGGAUUCUGGGCAGUAGCCUCGGAAGCAUCAGGCUGCACCUACCCACCAGCCGCCACCUCAGGACCACUUGCCCGAGCUUCGGAGGCAACCACCUCAGGAGUGUCGGGUCGCGCCGGCUCUCCAGCGGCCCCCUUAGGAGCGCUCGCCAGAACUGCAGGAGCGGCUACCUCGGGAGCACCCGACGACACCCGCUCCCCAGUGGUCGCCCCAGCGGUACCGGGCGGCGUUUGCCCCCCUGCAUCCACAUCUGGGGCGUGCGCCGCAGGGUCGACGAGCAAAGGAGCCAGGAAGAUGGGAUUCUCGCGAGGCCCCUUAAAGCCCUCCGGGCGCAACCCCCACUCGUCAAAGAGGGGCUUCUGCCUCACGAAGUCCUCCUUGUUCGAGCAUUGGUACAAGAGGCAUCCCUCCUCUGGAAGCGCGGCUAGCGCUGGGUCGCCCGUCAGGAGCUCGAGCAUCGCGCGCAGCGUCUUGGAAGGAAGCGCAGGCACCUGGAGCCUCAUGGGGUCCUUGCUGCCGGUGAAGGCCCACAUUGGGCAAGAAUGGCGCUGGAGCGGGGCGAUGCGCCAUCGAACGAACUCCUUCAUCACCAUCGGCACCGUCAGCCCGGCCUUCUUCAACCGGGCCAGCCUGGACCAGACAUGGGCAAGCCGACGGUCGACAAGCUUCACGUACCCCCAGCCGGAGUUGGGUACCGCCGGCACUCGCGGAAGCAGGAGCAGGGGGCUGAGCGUGCCGGCGUCCACAAACACCCACUGCUUCCGGAAUCCCUUCACAUCUGGGCAGAGCGUGAAUUCGAUGCCCGAGCUAGCCGUCGCUGCCACGGCCUGGAAGUCCACGCAUCCCGAGUGUUGGCGGGCGUCGACUAGAUGGAGCGAGAAGAAAUGGUGAAACAAGGCAACGGAGGGAGCAAUGCCCACCAUAGCCUCGCACAGGAAGGUGAAGACAGCGAGGAGGAUGAUGAAUUGGGGGUCCAGAUGCAGCGCUUGGAUCUGGUAAUGCAAGAUGAUAGCAUUGAAGAAAUCAGAGAACGAGGGAACCAAGCCAGCCAAGAGAGCGUGAAGAUGGAUGGGGAUCUCGGUGGCCUCCCUGUCGAUCGCAGCCCGGGAGGCGAGCCAAGCCAUCGUCGCCUUCCACUCAUUAGAGUCAGCGGUGAGAGGAGGCCGGACCUUGUCCAUCCCUUCCUGAUUGAUCACCGUCGACUGCUCCAGUGCAGGCUCCAAGACUGGCCGGGGUUCAACCGGAGCACAGGCCUUUCCCUUCUUCAACCGUGGGGCCAUGGCGGAAAGGAAGGAUUGGCACCAGCGCCAAACCUGGGAGAGAGGUUGCAAGUUAGAGGGAAGAGGAGGAGCCAAGGGUGAGUACGGCAAGCAAUGAAGGCAGAGCUACGCUAGCAACGGGCGACCGCAAAGCCUGGCGGAUACCAAGGCUGCGUGGGGAAGUAUAGGGGCGCCCACGCCCCAUCAAUCGCCACGCGUCGACCGAGGCCGCAGGCGGAUGGUGCCCGUGGUGCUCCGAAGCCAAGUUCGAGUGCGCCUUGGGCCCGGGGGCUACUGUCGGCAUUCUGGGAACGGGGGUACCCAGACUUGCCUACCUGCGGCCCACGGUGUGGCUCCAUCGACAGCCUGGUACGGCCCAGCUUCAGCAUCAACAACUCAAGACCCUCGCGAGGGGCCAAGCCUCGCGAAGCGGACAACACCAAGACCUCCAGAAGGAGCGGCCUCCUCAGGCUAGCUCCUGAGGAGCGGAGAUCUCUAUGCAAGCCCUCACCUCGUGAGGUUCGGAUGACGUGAGCCAUGACGACCAAGGCCAGGCGGGCGCCAGCAGGCGCAGUGCAGCAGUUUCCUCUUUGGUGCUAAAGAGGCAAGCGCAGGCGCGGAGUCCCGAGGAAUCAGCCAAAGGUUUCCAUUCCCAUGCAACGAGACCAAGACCGCCAGGACGGAAGGACGGAGGUCAUCGUCGAGCCCACCAUGGCAUCACGACCAGAGGCUUUGCAGGCGAAGACUACUUUUGUCAGGAUAGGAUGUACUAGUUGUCCCCCUUCGAAUUUGGCCGUUGUGGGAUCCCUUCCCGCCUUCAUUUGGGAAGAGGACCAAGGCCACUAUAAAUAGGACUUAGCCACCACCGUGGAGCGGGGAUCGAUUCCAUCCACACACCCACCAGCUCACUCGAGCGCAAGAACACCUCUCCUCCUGAGGUUGUUCGCCCACUGUACUAGUUCAUCCUCAGCCCCUCGAGGCCAAACCACCACAAAGCAAGAGUAGGGUUUUACACCGCAAGGUGGCCCGAACCUGGGUAAACUGUUGUGUCCCAUUUCCUUACAGUUUGUCGAGCUAGGCUGUGAUAUUGGCGAGUAGGCAGACUGGGGAGGUUGAGUUCUUCGCACGCACCCCAGAGUUCGAACCUCUCAAGAGUCUGCGGAGCCCGAAAUCCGACAGGUGCACUCAGCAUGCCCCCACUGGGUGAAUUCCCAUUCAGCGCGGCCUAACCGGUCCGAGUGAAGACCUAUAAACAAAAAUUUCUCAGACCCCCGCCGAAUCAAACAUUCGACGGCGGUCUUGGGGACUACACCCAAUGGGUGCACUCGGCGUGCCCCCACUGGAUCAAUUCCCACUCAGGAUGGCCUGACCGGUCCGAGUGAAGAACUACGAGCAAAUGGGCACUGGCAUCAUAAGUCAAAAACACCCAGUGGGUGUACAGAGUCAAGAUGGAGAAGAAAUAACCCAAUUAGAAAUCAACUUACAAUCGCACUUACUCGGACAUUCGCCUGAAGAGCUGUACUGGCAUCAUAAGCCAGUUUGCUGGCUUCAUACGCCUCCCUCAAAUGCUGCAUCAUCAGAUUGGCUUGAAUCAUGGCCUCUUUGCUAGCCCCAAUUUGGUCCUCUAGAACAUGAUGCAGAGUGAAGACAUGAGGUGGCGGACUCGGUGACGCAGCCAGAGGGAUCAACACUUGAGGCUGACCAGUCGGUCCCGAAGCUGGAGGAGUCGAUACCAAAGGCAAAGCAGUUGACAAAGGGGCAGCAGAGAUAGCACCAGCUCGAGACGAGCCACCUUGUUCCUGAGAUGUGAUAAUCCCCAAGUGCAGGGAAUCAUCGUAGCAAUUCCCAAUGGUGGAAGUGAUAAGUAUGGAGUGUCGAACCCACAAGGAGCUAAAGGUAAGAUCAAUAUUCUCUCAAGUCCUAUAUGUCACUGAUACGACUCUACGUACACCGAGCAUUUGCUUCCAAUUAGAAACAAGAAAUAAAACUACGUUGUGGGUAUGAAGAGGAUAACUUUGCAUGAUAUCGGAGAGCUAAAAUAUAAAAGUAGGUGUUGUUAUCAUAAAGUUAGAAUAUAUUACUAAAUAUUAUAAAUAGCGGGUGUGGAAUAAUGAUGGGUCAGUGUGCGGAAUUAUCCUGGGCAAUCGUUAACAAGACCGGUAAUCACUAUCGCAAUUUCAUAUGAGGGAGAGGCAUAAGCUAACAUACUUUCUCUUCUUGGAUCAUAUGCACUUAUGAUUGGAACUCUAGCAAGCAUCUACAACUACUAAAGAUCAUUAAGGUAAAACCCAACCAUAGCAUUAAAGCAUCAAGUCCCCUUUAUCCCAUACGCAACAACCCCCUUACUCGGUUUUAUGCUUCUGUCACUCAAGCAACCCACUAUAAGCGAAUCAUAAACGUAUUACAACACCCUACAGCGGGAAUCCCUCACGCUUGCGUGACACAGAGGGCACAAUAGGACAGCACCAAAAUAAAACAUACAAGUCAUACCAAUCUAUAUCAUCAAUCAACCCAAAGACAAAGGAUAUGUACUCAAAACAUCAUAGGAUGGCAACACAUCAUUGGAUCAUAAUAUGUGGCAUAAAGCACCAUGUUCAAGUAGGGAUUACAGCGGGGUGCGGGAGAGUGGACCGCAUAAAAUAGAUGAGGAUGGUGAUGAUGAUGGUGAUGUUGAUGAAGACGAUCACCGCGGUGAUGAUUCCCCUCCCGAUGGCACUCCGGCGCCACCGAGAGAGAGGAGGAGAGGUUCUCCCCCUUGUGCUUCCUCCUCCAUGGCCUCCCCCUAGAUGGGGAGAGGUUUUUCCUCUGGUCCUUGGCCUUCAUGGCGAUGAUGGCCCCUCCGGGAUCCUCCUCCAUGGCCUCCGGUGACGAUGGCCCCCUCCGGCAGGGUGCCAGAGAGGGCCUAGAUUGAUUUCUCGUGGCUACAGAGGCUUGCGGCAGUGGAACUUCCGAUCUAGGUUAUUUUCUGGGGGUUUCUGUAUUUAUAGGAAUUUUUGUCAUCGGUUUCACGUCAGGGGGUCUCCGAGUCGUCCACGGAUAGGGGCCCACGCCCGGGGGGGUGGGCGCGCCCCCACCCUCAUGGACAGCCCGGGACUCUUCUGGACCAACUCUUUUAGUCCGUGGGCUUCUUCCGGUCCAUAAAAAAUCGUCAAAAAUUGGCACGUCAAUUGGACUCCGUUUGGUAUUCCUUUUCUGUAAAACUCAAAAACAAGGAAAAAACAGAAACUGGCACUGGGCUCUAGGUUAAUAGGUUAGUCCCAAAAAUCAUAUAAAAUAGCAUAUAAAUGCAUAUAAAACAUCUAAGAUGGAUAAUAUAAUAGCAUGAAUACUUCAUAAAUUAUAGAUACGUUGGAGACGUAUCAGCAUCCCCAAGCUUAAUUCCUGCUCGUCCUCGAGUAGGUAAAUGAUAAAAGAAAUAAUUUAUGAAGUGUGAAUGCUAGCAAGUGCACAAGUUUGAUCAAUGAUAAUUUCAAUCACCUUUUCUAGCAUCAUUAUAUGUCAUAACAGUAGCUUAUCUCAUAAAACUUUUCAUGAUCAAGUAACAAGCUAUUCACAUGUUAAAGUAUAGAUCAUAAACUUUCUUGAAACUAACAAACUAUAUUCUCAGUCAUCAAACAAUUGCAAUUCAUCUUAUUUUUAGGAAGGGUCUAUGUCAGAGCUUUGAUUUAGCAAAUUCCACAUACUCAACUAUCAUUUAAUCUUUCACAAUUGCUAACACUCAUGUGAUAUUUAUGGGUUCAAAGUUUUAAUCGGACACAGAGAAAGAUAGAGGCUUAUAGUUUUGCCUCCCAACCUUUUACCUCAAGGGUAAUGUCAACAAUAAUAAUUUAUGAAAACCUACAUCCAAGUGGAUAUAUAUAUAUAUAUAUAUAUAUAUAUAUCUGGAUCGCUCCAACACAAAGUGCUUGCCAAAGGAAAAAGUGUAAAAAGGAAAGGUGAUGAUCACCAUGACUCUUGUAUAAGGGUAGAAGAUAAAAGUAAAAGAUAGGCCCUUCGCAGAGGGAAGCAGAGGUUGUCAUGCGCUUUGAUGGUUGGAUGCACAAAAUCUUAAUGCAAAAGAACGUCACUUUAUAUUGCCUCUUGUGAUAAAGACCUUUAUUAUGCAGUCCGUCGCUUUUAUUUCUUCCCUAUCACAAGUUCGUAUAAAGCUUAUUUUCUUCACACUAAUAGAUCAUACAUAUUUAGAGAGCAAUUUUUAUUGCAUGCACCGAUGACAACUUACUUGAAGGAUCUUACUCAAUCCAUAGGUAGGUAUGGUGGACUCUCAUGGCAAAACUGGUUUAAGGGAUGUUUGGAAGCACAAGAAGUAUUUCUACUUGGUGCAAAGAAUUUGGCUAGCAUGAGAGGGAAAGGCAAGCUCAACAUGUUGGAUGAUCCAAGACAAUAUAACGUUUCGGAUAUAGGAAAACAUAACCCAUUAAGUUGUCUUCCUUGUCCAACAUCAACCUUUUAGCAUGUCAUAUUUUAAUGAGUGCUCACAAUUAUAAAAGAUGUCCAAGAUAGUAUAUUUAUAUGUGAAAUCUCUCUUCCUUCAAUAUUCUUUCAUGAAUUGUUCAAGUGACCAAUUUUGUGUUUGCUAACUUUCAAUAAGUUUACUACCUAUACUUAUUCUGUGUGAAGUCAUUACUCCCCAUGGUAUAAGCAUAUGAAACAUAUAAAUUCAGAUUUAUGAUAUUUAACUCAUUCAACCAUUUACUCAUAGGAUAUAUGUGAAGCACGUGAGUAAAUGACAAACUACUCCAAAAAGAUAUAAGUGAAGAACACUGAGUAGUCAAAUAAUUAACUAGCCAUGGGAGGAUUCUUUUUCAUUCAAGAUUUCAGAUCCAAUGAUUUUAUUCAAACAGCAAGUAAAAUUGAAAAUACGCUCCAAGCAAAACACAUAUCAUGUGACGAAUAAAAAUAUAGCUCCGAGUAAGGUAUACCGAUAGUUUUGAAGACGAAUGAGGGGAUGCCUUCCGGGGCAUCCCCAAGCUUAGGCGCUUGAGUCUUCCUUGAAUAUUACCUUGGGGUGCCUUGGGAAUCCCCAAGCUUAGGUUAUUUCCACUCCUUAUUCUCCUCAUAUCGAUAUCUCACCCAAAGCUUGAUAACUUCAAUCACACAAAACUUAACAGAACUUCGUGAGAUAGGUUAGUAUGAUAAAGAGUAAACCAUUAACCUUGGUACUAUCAAAGACAAGGUUCAUAAUUGUUCUCACACAAUGCCUACUGUAUCAUAUCAUUUCUACAAUUUAUAUUGAUAAAUAUAAGCCAUAGAAACCAGAAAACAAGCAAACUAUGCAAUAAAAACAGAAUCUGUCAAAAACAGAACAUUCUGUAAUGAUCUGAACAGAAACCAUACUUCUGCUACUCCAAAAAUUAUGAAAUAAAGAGGAAUUUGUCUAUUACUCUUCUGCAAAAAGAAUCAACUCAAAGCACUCUUCUGUAAAAAAUGACAGCUAAUCUCGUGAGCGCAAAGUUUCCGUUUUUUACAGCAAGAUCACAUUAACUUUCACCCAAGUCUUCCCAAAGGUCUGACUUGGCACUUUAUUGAAACAAAAGCUAUAAAACAUGAUUACUACAGUAUCUUAAUCAUGUAAACACACAAAAACAGUAAGGGUAAAUAUUGGGUUGUCUCCCAACAAGCGCUUUUCUUUAAUGUCUUUUAGCUAGGCAUGAUGAUUUUAAUGAUGCUCACAUAAAAGAUAAGAAUUGAAACAUAAAGAGAGCAUCAUGAAGAAUAUGACUAGCACAUUUAAAUCUAACCCACUUCCUAUGCCUAGGGAUUUUGUGAGCACAUAAUUUAUAGGAACAAGAAUCAACUAGCAUAGGAAGGCAAAACAAGUAUAACUUCAAAACUUUAAGCACGUAGAGAGGAAACUUGAUAUUAUUGCACUCCCUACAAGCAUGUAUUCCUCCCUCAUAAUAAUUUUCAGUAGCAUCAUGAAUGAAUUCAACAAUAUAACCAUCACAUAAAGCAUUCUUUUCAUGAUCUACAAGCAUAGAAAUUUUUUUACUCUCCACAUAAGCAAAAUUCUUCUCAUUCGGAAUAGUGGGAUCACUAAUUCCUAAAGUUGACACUCUUCCAAACCCGCUUUCGAUGAUAGUAUUAUUCAUACUCCAAAAGAUAUAAGUGAAGUUCAUGGAGCAUCCUACAAUUAAUAUAGACUAACCAAUAUCCAAGCUCAAAAUAUAUAAGUGAAGCACACGAAGCAUUCUAUAAAACCAUACUCAAAAGAUUUAAGUGAAGCACAAAGAGCAUUCUAUAAGGUCAUACUCAAAAGAUAUAAGUGAAUCACAUGAAUCAUUAUAUAAAUUGAUGAAGGGACAUCCCAUACUAGUAUGGUUCUUAAAGAAAAAUAAAAACACAAAGGACACAAAUCAUGUGAACAAAACAAAAACCGAGGUAUACCGAUAAUUGUUGAAGAAGAAAGAUGGGAUGCCAACCGGGGCAUCCUCAAGCUUAAAUGCUUGAGUAUCCUUGGAAUAUUUACUUGGGGUGCCUUGGGAAUCCCCAAGCUUGAACUCUUGCCUCUCUUUAUUGUUCUCACAUCGGUAACUCCUCGUUCUUCGAACACUUCAUCCACAAAAACUUAACAAAAACUUUGUGAGAUCCGUUAGUAUACUAAAGCAAAUCACUACCUUUAGGUACUGUUGCAAACUCAUUCCAAUUUCAUAUUAUCACUUUAUCUACUGUAUUCCAACUUCACCAUGGUUCAUACCCCCCGAUACUACCCAUAGAUUCAUCAAAAUAAGCGAUCAACACAUAGAAAACAGAAUCUGUCAAAAACAGGACAGUCUGUAGUAAUCUGGAAGUUUAGUAAACUUCUGUAACUCCAAAAUAUUUAAAAAAAUAGAUGAAAAUUUAAAAAAAUUUUACAAAAGUAACGUGCAAAAAGUUUCAGACCCAUUUGAAUUUCCAGUAAAAAAAUGUAAAUUCACGCACUACAGCCAAAGUUUUUGUUUUUGUACUGCACAUAGUAAACAAGCAAUCUAAUCAUCCUAAAACCAAAGCUUGGCACAUUAUUUUUAUAAUACAAUGGAUAUAUACAAGGGGAUAAUUAUUUUCAGAGAAGCUUCCAUGAAAUUUUUUACAUUGUUUCCAUGAGCAUGAACACAAGUGUUCAAGGUCGACCCUCACUUCUCCAAUGCAUAACCUUCCAAUCACUUCUCUUAUUGAAAAACUUUUUAGGCAUGAGAGGCAAGUAAUUUUUUUUGUAUUUUCAUUCUUAAAAAGAAUUGUGUGUUUCACCCACAACUAUAUAGAAACAAAAAGGAAAAACAAAAUCUACUUAGUGAAGAAAGCAAACAAGCACACACGAGAAUAUCAACCCCACGCUAUUGCUCCCCGACAACGGCCCCAGAAAAGAGCUUGAUAAUCCCCAAGUGCAGGGAAUCAUCGUAGCAAUUCCCAAUGGUGGAAGUGAUAAGUAUGGAGUGUCGAACCCACAAGGAGCUAAAGGUAAGAUCAAUAUUCUCUCAAGUCCUAUCUGCCACUGAUACGACUCUACGUACACCGAACGUUUGCUUCCAACUAGAAACGAGAAAUUAAACUACGUUGUGGGUAUGAAGAUGAUAACUUUGCAUGAUAUUGGAGAGCUAAAAUAUAAAAGUAGGUGUUGUUAUCAUAAAGUUAGAAUAUAUUACUAAAUAUUAUAAAUAGCGAGUGUGGAAUAAUGAUGGGUCGGUGUGCGGAAUUAUCCUGGGCAAUCGUUAACAAGACCGGUAAUCACUAUUGCAAUUUCAUAUGAGGGAGAGGCAUAAGCUAACAUACUUUCUCUUCUUGGAUCAUAUGCACUUAUGAUUGGAACUCUAGCAAGCAUCCGCAACUACUAAAGAUCAUUAUGGUAAAACCCAACCAUAGCAUUAAAGCAUCAAGUCCCCUUUAUCCCAUACGCAACAACCCCCUUACUCGGGUUUAUGCUUCUGUCACUCAAGCAGCCCACUAUAAGUGAAUCAUAAACGUAUUGCAACACCCUACAGCAGGAAUCCCUCACGCUUGCGCGACACGGAGGGCACAAUAGGACAGCACCAAAAUAAAACAUACAACUCAUACCAAUCUAUAUCAUCAAUCAACCCAAAGGCAAAGGAUGUCUACUAAAAACAUCAUAGGAUGGCAACACAUCAUUGGAUCAUAAUAUGUGGCAUAAAGCACCAUGUUCAAGUAGGGAUUGCAGCGGGGUGCGGGAGAGUGGACCGCGUAAAAUAGAUGAGGAUGGUGAUGAUGAUGGUGAUGUUGAUGAAGACGAUCACCGCGGCGAUGAUUCCCCUCCCGAUGGCACUCCGGCGCCACCGAGAGAGAGGAGGAGAGGUUCUCCCCCUUGUGCUUCCUCCUCCAUGCCCCCUAGAUGGGGAGAGGUUCUUCCUCUGGUCCUUGGCCUUCAUGGCGAUGAUGGCCCCUCCGGGAUCCUCCUCCAUGGCCUCCGGUGAUGAUGGCCCCCUCUGGCAGGGUGCGAGAGAGGGCCUAGAUUGAUUUCUCGUGGCUACAGAGGCUUGCGGCGGCGGAACUUCCGAUCUAGGUUAUUUUCUGAGGGUUUCUGUAUUUAUAGGAAUUUUUGCGUCGGUUUCACGUCAGGGGGGUCUUCGAGUCGUCCAGGAGAUAGGGGCCCAUGCCCAGGGGGUGGGCGCGCCCCCCACCCUCGUGGACAGCCCGGGACUCUUCUGGCCCAACUGUUUUACUCGGUGGGCUUCUUCUGGUCCAUAAAAAUCAUCAAAAAUUGGCACGUCAAUUGGACUCUGUUUGGUAUUCCUUUUCUGUAUAAGUCAAAAACAAGGAAAAAACAGAAAUUGGCACUGGGCUCUAGGUUAAUAGGUUAGUCCCAAAAAUCAUAUAAAAUAGCAUAUAAAUGCAUAUAAAACAUCUAAGAUGGAUAAUAUAAUAGCAUGAAUACUUCAUAAAUUAUAGAUACGUUGGAGACGUAUCAAGAUGCAGCUGCAGGCAGUGCCCGGGGCGUUUCGCUCGACGGCACUCUCCGAGUGAGGCUGCAGGAGACGGUCAAGGUCGUACCCUCCCCUCUUGUGUCCUUCUAAGGCUCGUCUUCAUCGUCGUCCGCCAGGUGGAUGAUGUUCAUUGGCUCUGCAGUCACUCGACAACAACAUCAAUUUUAUUGAUCGUCGAAUCAAUCAGUGGAACAGAGCAGAGUGAAAACCGGUCAUACCUUGUCGGGAGGUGGUCGCGUCUGCAGUAUCCACCUCCGCAUGUUCCUUAUCAAUUUGCAUGGGUGAUGUUGUAGAAGUAGCAGCUCUGGCACACAAUUCUUAGUCGGUCAGCAAAAGUAUAAAGAUCUGCAAGAGUAAGAAAGAGAUAACACUCAUGUUGAAGCUACAGGCACGGUGACCUUUAUUCUGGGCAGAGCCUUCCGAGGUUUCGGUGGAGCGACCUUGAGAUGCUUCACGAUCUUCUCAGUCGGAUCUGGCGUCGCCGUCCGAGUGCGCUUCGGGUUCCUGCCACUCGACGCCAAGGCCUUGCCCUGGUUGGCACUCGGAUCUUGGUUCGCUUUGGUUCGGCGCUCGGUGCAUGGAGGAGACUCGACCUCUUCACUAUCUUCUGAGUCGUCACUGCUGCCCACUGCUGCCCUUAGUAUCUUCGGCAUAGCUGUCCCGAGCACUCCCACCUUCACUCUCAGCACCUUCAACAAGUUGUUGUCCGUUCAGCACAGGUGAAAACAUCUUCAUGGACUCCUGCGAAGUACAAAAAUAAAAGUCAGUCGGCUUAUCAAUCCAGUCGGAUGUUGGAAACAAAAGGGAAAAGACUCGACAAGGUAAUUCUCACCUCCCCUGGUGGGUGCUCAGCGUCGAAGGGUUGAACCUGCUUGGAUCCACGUGGAUUGUCAUGAGCUCCAGUGAUGCUGCUAAGCCAUUGGAUCACGUUCUCGUCCUUGACCUCCUCUUGAUGAGUCUGAGUGGAAUCGUCUAGACCUGUGUAGUGCCACAUGGGAUGGCCUCGUGCUUGCAGGGGCUGAAUCCGUCGACUGAGGGACACCUCUAACAUAUCCAAGCCCGUCACUCUGCCUCGAAUUAACUCAACUACAGAUUCUACCAAAACUGCUACUUCAGCUUUCUCCUCCUCGUCCACGAUCAGCGAGCAGGGAGCGUUGAUCCUUGCAGAUGAGUAAGGAGGAAGGCCAGCCGACUAACUAGAAGAUGGAAUGUCGUUGCAGUAAAACCAGGUCGACUGCCAACCUCUAACGGACUCGGGAAAGGACAUUGCAGAGAACGCACUCCUGCCUCUCAUCUGGACACCUAAACCACCAUACAGCUGAAUCACAUGGGUCCUUUCGUCACUCGGAUUUGCUUUCUUGACUGACUGAGAAUGACACGUGAAGAUGUGCUUGAACAACCCCCAGUGAGGAUGACAACCCAAGAAAUUUUCACACAUGGAGACGAAAGCAGCAAGAUACGAUAUGGCAUUCGGGGCAAGAUGGUGGAGUUGCACACCGAAGAAAUUCAUAAAUCCUCAAAAAAAGGAUGGUGAGGCAAGGAGAAACCUCUCUCCACAUGGGUGAGGAGGAGGACCCGCUCUCCGAGGCACAGCGCAGGCUCGACCUCCCCUCCCUCUGGCAGCCUCCAAGACCCUGGGACCAGCAGGCCGUUGGCGGCGAGCCCGUCGAGGUCCUUCGUCGUGACCGUCGACGGCAGCCCGUCGCCCUGGAUCCAGCCCGGCGGUAGCGCGGCCCGAGAACUCGACGCCUUCUUCCCCUUGGUCGCCUUCUUGGCGCGCUCUAGCUUCGCCAUCUCCGUGGUGGUGGUCGGUGCGGAGCGGGGCGGCGCAACGCGGAGGCGGAAGAGGUGGAGAAGCGAGGAGAAAGGGGAAAAGAAGAGAACACAGUUUCACCCCUCGGCCGCAUCGCCCUUUAUAACUCCGUGCCCGAGUCACCGACACCUGGGCCCACGAGAUCCCAGCGCAUCCUACUGAACAGAGACUGCGCAGUACGUGGCGAUAAAGGUGGAUCGAUAAUCGAGGAGUCCCGCCCCACUUACCGCGCCGUUGCCGAUCCGUGCGCUUCUCCAAAUUUUCGAAUCCCGUGAGAUCCAGAACCUGGUAGAACGAUCGAUUGCGUCAGAAGAUUUCCUUGUUCAUUCGGGUCCGACCCGAUGCUCGGGAUCACUCGGUCGCACAUCGAUCCAGAAUCGAUCGAGGCGAUUGAAAAGGGAUUAAGCAGUGCGGGUAUCUGCAGAUCUCUAAAACGCCUCCGAGGCAUUGAGUCUAAUGAGAACCCGCUCCUAUCCUUUUCCACUCGAACCCCGAUCCAUUCGGGGGCUAAUGACGAGGACAUGUACCUAGGGUAGGCUCCUAGGCCUGACCUACAUACCCUACCCAAGGACACUGCAUACAAGUAUCCAAGGCCCACAAGGUUAUGAAGGAGUCGCCGACUGGGAUACCUGCAACUUACAAGUCACUCGGAGGAGGGAUUCACUCAGUGAUCUCACCAACACUCGACUGCCACUGCUCACUCGGAGUACCAAGUGUCACUCGACCACAGAAGACUUAGAGUCACCCCGAGAUAGCAAUAGUCAGGCGAUCAAUUCGCCGGCAUAAAGAACAUCUAAUGCUGGUGUUACAUGUAACUCUCGCAUCCUUUAACCUCUCUAUUGAACCCUUGGGUGACGGGGCAUUCAUGAAGGGCUAGCAGAAUCUAUAUAAGCCGCCCCUCUACCCCUGCACAAGGGUUCGCACCUCCUGUAACUCAACGCUCCAGAAAAACAAAGCUCCCGCUGCACCGAGACGUAGGGUCUUUACCUCUUCUAAGAGGGGCCUGAACUCGUAAAUUCGAGUGUACAACCACACCAUAGCUAGACUCUGUGCCCUCUCAUACGUACCCCUAUACUCUACUGCCAGGUCUGUUUCCAUGACAUUUGGUGCGCCCGCUCCCGCGCACUGGACGUGGCAAUUGAGCGCGUGAAUCGCACCAACCGCCAGAUCUGAAACCUCCAGGCGUUGGUGCCGCCACCCGCACCUUCCCCAUUCGCUCCCGCGACCCGUCGGCGCUACCUCCACCUAUCCCCGCGCACCGUCGUUGCUUCCUCCACCUUCUCUCCUCACCGCCUCCCUCGAGUGCACUGUUCCUUCGACAAACAGCGCCCGGCGGCUGUUUGCAGCUUGGCGCCCACAAGGUGUUUGAAAAAACGCUUGCAAGGUAUCUAUUGCUUCAACUUCAUAUUUGUAGAUGAAUUUGGUGCAUGUUGUUUGUAGUUUUAAAUUAGUUUAAAUUCAACUGUGUAGAUGAGUUCGUCCUACGAUUCUUCCGACGAAGAAUUUGAUAUUCAAGAGGAGUACAUCGCAAUGAUCCUAGCUAUGCAUGUUAAUAAAAAGCUGAAGCACGGUGGUUCGGUUAUCGGCCAUAAAAAAUUGUGGAGGGAUAGGAUCGAUGCCCACAACAAAUUGUUGGGGAACUAUUUUUUGGAGAAUCCCACAUACCCCGAGUCCUACUUUCGGUGCCGUUUUAGGAUGAGCAUCGAGUUUUUCGAACACAUUGCGGAGAAACUGGCAAGCCAUGAUCGGUUUUUUCAGCAAAGGAGGAAUGCCGCCGGAGAACUCGGGCAUAGCACCUUUCAAAAGGUGACCGCCACUUUGCAUAUGUUGGCAUACGGUAUUCCGAUGGAUCUAGUUGAUGACCACUUGGCCAUGGGUGAGAGUCAAGCCAUCAUGUGUGUCAAGCGCUUUGCAGUCGGAAUUGUGCAAGUGUUUGGUCCAGAAUAUUUGAGAGCUCCCAAUGUUGAAGUCACCGCAAGGCUUUUGGAGAUGAACAAAGCUUGCGGGUUCCCAAGUAUGCUUGGCUCAGUAGAUUGCAUGUAUUGGAGUUGGAAGAACUGUCCUAAGGCAUGGCAUGGACAAUUUCACAGCUAGAAAAAGGGUUCCACUAUAAUCCUUGAAGCGAUGGCUGAUCAGGAGACUUGGAUUUGGCAUUUUUUUUGGAAUGCCUGGAUCUUUGAAUGGCAUCAAUGUUCUUAAUCGGUCACCACUCAUCAAUAAGGUCGCAAAUGGUGAAACUACGCCGGUGGAGUUUGUAGCAAAUGGUCAUACAUACAACCAUGGCUACUAUCUUGCGAUGGCAUCUACCCGAUGUGGCAAACAUUUUUGAAGCCAUUGACAGCACCGCAAGGUAAGAAAAAUCUUGAUUUCCAUAAUGCUCAGGCGGCGGCUAGGAAAGAUGUGGAGAUAGCUUUUGGGAUUUCGCACGCCCAAUUUGCUAUUGUCAGAGGGACGGCUAGAUUUUGGGAUCAAAAGAUCCUUUGCUACAUCAUAAACGCUUGUGUGAUCAUGCAUAACAUGCUCAUUGAGAAUGAGCGUGGGCAAGCUUUAGACUAUUCUCAGUAUGAGUUGUUGGGACGUCCCGUGCAAGUGCGGAGGAGGGCUGCGAGGGUGGCCCAAUUGAUUGCCUCCUAUCAUGCCACUCGACGUACCGAAAUGCAUGAUGAUCUUCAAAAGGAUCUAAUCAAGGAGUGGUGGGCAUGGAAUGGGCGACAUAAUUAGUUUGAUGUUGUAUUAUUGAACUAUUUGUUGAAUUGGAAGAUAAACUAUUUGUUUGAGUUAUAAUAAUAAUGGAACUAUUUAUUGUUGAUUUAUUUUUUGUGUUUGAUCUUCUUGGUUCUAUGUUGAGUGGAAAAUAUUGUUUGUGUUGGGCGCGCGCUAUAAUUUUAGAGCGCCUACGAGAGCGCUACCUGCGGCACAAAAUAUAACGCUUCUGUUAAAGCAGAAUACCUGCUCCGCUCGCCAAAACACUAUUUUGACGUUGUAAAAGUUUUUUAGCGCAUCGCGCGUCUGUUGGAGAUGCUCUAAGAUGGCUUAUGCACCUGCACAUGGAUGGAGUACUCCUUUGUAAACAAAUACUCACUCCUUUUCGGUUUAUAGGGCUCAUCUCAAAAAGUUUUUUUCAUUUUAUAACUCUCAAUUCUACUACUUACCAUCACAUGUUCAGAUUUUAAGGUGUAUUAAAUCACUACAUGCAAGGAUGAAGAAAAACCUCACCAAUGCAUGUAGAAGUUCUUGGUCAUUAAGAGCAUCUCCAGCCCUUCGACGCCUCCAGGGACAGAAAUAACGCCUCCUGGGGGCUAGCCGGCGCUAUUUUGGCCAUGGGGGCGGUCGGGUUCCUAACCACGGCCCUAGGUCGGCUCCCAGACACCGUUUUUUGAAUUGAACUUCGGCUAAAAUUAGACGAAAAAGCCACUAAUUCGCUAAUAUUCGGCGGUUUUCAUUCAUAUUUGUAUAUAAUAAAGAAGACAUAAUAAAACAUAAAAAAAAA
RNAcentral lists this long non-coding RNA (61145 nucleotides) under Triticum aestivum (bread wheat). Its description in RNAcentral is "long non-coding RNA (TAES_LNC014537)". The record is from RNAcentral. Lineage: Eukaryota; Viridiplantae; Streptophyta; Magnoliopsida; Poales; Poaceae.